Molecule: non-coding RNA, 56669 nt
Organism: Rattus norvegicus (Norway rat)
Lineage: Eukaryota; Metazoa; Chordata; Mammalia; Rodentia; Muridae
Source: RefSeq, a predicted model, not a curated record
AAUGGGGGGAGGAUGGGGAGGGGAACACCCAUAAAGAAGGGGAGGGAGAAGGAUUAGGGGGAUGUUCGCCCGGAAACCGGGAAGGGGAAUAGCACUCGAAAUGUAAAUAAGAAAUACUCAAGUUAAUAAAAAAAAAAAAGAAAAAGAAAAAGAAAAAAAGAAAAAAAGAAUUGCUCUGGGCCAUCUCUGUCAGUCCAUGUAGCUGUCCUGGACUAGCACUCCUUGGUUUAAUCUAGUGGAAAGCUUCUUAACCUAACUUGUGACCUGUGUGGGUCACACAACUGAAUUUGAGUAACCAAAGUUGAGAGUCAUGAAAGUUUCCACAUCAGUGAACAAAAUUUAAUUUAAGGUCAAAUUCAUAAAAGAAUCUAAGAGGUUUUUUGUUUGUUUCAGCAGUACUCAAUGCUCACGUUGACUUGCACAAAGUCACUGCAGCCUUGUGUGUGUGCGUGUGUGUGUGUGUGUAAGUGACUGUGACUGUGUAAAUGUGUGUGAAUGUAAGUGUGUUGGUGUAAACGUGUGUAAAUAUGUGUGAGUGCGAGUAAGUGUAUGUGUAAGUGAGUAUGUGUGAGUGUAUGUGUGCACACACACAUUAAUUUGUCCAAUCAUGCAUGUGUGGAGGCCAAGGAUUGACUUUGAUAUUUCCCUUUAAUAUUCUCCACCCUUUGUUUUGAGACAGGAUCUUUUGGUGAAUCUAGACUAGCUAGCAUGUGAGCCCAGUGUGUCUGCUGUUUCAGUUCUGGACCACUUCUGUUACAGGGAUACAAGCUAGGUCUCAUUUUUAUGAGUGCUGGGCUUGUGAACUCAGACCCAUACACUUGCAGAAUAAGCACUUAACUCAAUGAGCAAAGGUUCCAGCUCUCAGCCUUGGCUUGGAACACACAACAUGCACUGCAUGUAUUGUCCUUUGGUGCAGUAUCAUUGAAUAGUGCCUGAAACAUACAUUUUUGACCUGCAACAUUUAACUGUGCAUACAAUUUUUCUUUUUGCUUAUAGAAACCUAAUGCUUUAAUUACAGAAAACAACAGAUUUAAUAUUUUCCCAUAUCAUUCCUCAGCAUUUAAAUACCAAAUUAGUAUAGUUUUGGAUUGCAUUUGUUAGACAAACAAGCACAUCUAUCUUAUUAGUAUGCAAAUUUAAUUUAACCUUUGAUAUAUGGUAACAUUAUACAUACACAGAAAGUUGAUUUAAGAUGAACUUCUUCUGUACUUUGUUGUCGGGCAGUUAUUGAUUUGUGUAACUUUUCUCUACCCGAUUUACAGGUAUAGAGAAUACCACAUUAAACGUGGGUAAGGAGGAAUUGUAGCCCUUGUCUGGUAGAAGAAGUGAAUGUAGCUUAGAUUGAAGGGUUCAGUGCCUUUCACAGUGCAUGGGUCCAGCACCAGGAAAACCCAAUCAUUGAUUCUAGUUACUAAGGCUAACAGACAGUUCUUGUGCCUAGGACAAUUGUCCACCUCUCAUCUUCAGUGAGAUGUGUUAUUCCCAUGGGAGAUGGACUACUUGUUUGUACUUGUGUGGCUUACACAAGUCCUCAAAGGUCUGAGGGUUCAUCAUCAGACCAUACAGAGAACAGGCCAAUAAUAGAACACUUAAAGAAGCACCGGUCCAUGGCAGAAGUUCCAAAAUGCUUUUUGUUGUUGAUCUUUUCUUUAGAAUUAUCUCAUGUAUCCUAGGUUACUGCCAAACUCAUUGAGUACCAAGGAUAACCUUAAAGUUCUUGUCUUCUUAACCCUUCCUUCUGAGUGAUCAGAUCACAGUAGUAUAUCAUAACACCCGUUAUGCUCUCAUUUUCUUUUAAGAUUUAUUUUCUUAUUUUAUGUAUAUGAGAACAGUGUAGCUGUCUUCAGACACACCAGAAGAGUAUAUCAGACGCCAUUACAGAUGGUUGUGAGCGACCAUGUGGCUCCUGGAAAUUAAAUUCAGGACUUCUGGAAGAGCAGUCAGUGCUCUUAACCACUGAGUCAUUUCUCCAAUCCCAUAUUACUAUUCUUUAUUUGUAUGUUUUUCUUUUCAUAGUGCUGGGAAUUGAACCCAGGGCUUUAUGCAUACUAGACAAGCAUUGCAACAAUUGAGCUAUAUCUCAGCUUCAGAAAGUGUUUGGUGAGUCAGAGUUUCCUGUGCUAGUUAGGGGUUAUUAUUAUUGAGGUAAAAUACCAUGACAAACAGCAAAUUAGGGUUUAUCUGACUUUUACUAAUACAUUACUGUUCACCAUUGGAAAAGUCAGGACAGGAACUCAAGUAGGGCUGGAGUUGGUUCAGAGGCUAUUGAGGGAUUCUGCUUUCUGGCUUGCUCCUUAUGGCUUGCUCAGCCUGCUUUGUUACAGAACCCAGGACUAUUAGCCUAGAGAUGGCAUCACCCAUAGUGGGAUGAGUCAUUGAUCACUAAUUAAUCUUGUGUCAAGUUGACAUAAGACUAGCCAGAACAAUUAACUUUUUGUCAGCCUGACAAACAAACACAUUACCAUUAAACCACCAAAAUCUUUCCAUUUUUGUUCAACCCCACGAUUACAUAUUAAUAUCAACAUCACAAUAAAAAACAUUUGCAAGCUUAAAAAGUCUCACGGUCUUUACAUAUUCGAACAGUUUAAAAUUUGGUCCCAUUUAAAAUUUCAAUAUCAGUUUAAAAAAAUCAAAAUCUUUCAACUGUGGGCAUUUAUAAAAUCAAAAAUAAUAUUUUCUUCCUUCAAGAGGGAAGAACUAGACACAAUCUCAGUCAGCAGAAAGCAAAACUGAACGCCAGCAGUGUAAAUAAAUACCUUAAUACCCAAUAUCUGGGAAUAACUCAUGAUCCUCUGGACUUGGGUUACUUCUGUGGCUCCACCUCUUAUGAUGUGCACAUACACACACACACACACACACAGACACACACACACACACACACACACACACACACACACACACACACACACACACGGACACGGACACGGACACAGUCUUCUGGAUACAGCUGGCUCCACUCCUCUGUGGUUGUUGUUCCUAAUGAGAAUCCCAUGGUACCAGCACCUCAAAGUGCUGGGUCUCCUGCUGCGUCUGGGCUUCAUUUCACUCAUAACCUUUCUUGGGUUCCCUUCAGAGAUUCUAACCUUGCCACAUAGUGGCAAAUCUCAGCUGGUCUCCAUGAUCCCUUCACACCUUCAAACCAGCACCACCUGCGUGACUCCUGACUAUCCGCACAAGGUAAAACCUUGGCCACCUCUGGAACACAAGUUCUGACUAGUUUUAUGUCAACUUGACACAAGCUAAAGUCAUCUGAGGAAAAGGAACCUCGAGCAAGAAAAUGCCUCCAUAAGAUUGUCAUCAAGCAUUAUCGUAUGGCAUUUUCUUAAUUCACUAAUUAAUUGAGGGAAAGGGACCAGCGUAUUGUGGGGUAGGGAAGCAUCCCUUGACUGGUAGUUCUUGAUUGUGUAAGAGAGCAAGCUGAUAAAGCCAUGAUGAGCAAGCCAGUAAUCAGCAUUUCUCUAUUAGCUCCUACCUUCAGAUACCUGCCAUGCUUGAAUUCCAGUCCUGACUUCUUGGAAGUGUAAGGCCAAUAAAACCUUUCUUAUCCAAUUUACUUUGGCCACUUUCUUUCUUUGCAGCAAUAGAAACCCUAGCUAGGCUAGUAACUGGUACCAAAAGAGAUAUUUCUGUGAAAGACCUUACCGUGUGUUUUGGGGAGGACUAUGGAAAGCCUUUGGAAUUUUGGCCUAGAAAAAUUAUUGAAUAUUGGGAGCCCAGCAGUCUGCACUGUAGUAAGUAGUUUGGAAGAUAAAAAUGUUGCAGGCAUCACAUGUUGGAGGCCUGACUUAUGUCUUUUAGAGGGAAGUUUAAAAACCCAGGGCCAUUUGCUAUUUUGAAUGAGGAGUCUGUAGCUCUGGGGCUGAGGAAUCAUCUGUGAUUAUCAAGAUACCAGAACUACUAAGGUGAGACUUGUUUUUCUGAGAUACUCAAUGCUGGUCAGCUAGAGCUGAGAAAAUAUAGGUGAUUAAAAAGAAACCAGCAGAUGUUGGAGACGGGAGUUAUUGGACAACUGGGAGGACUGGGGAGAGGGGAAACUGUGGUUGAGUUAUAUUAUAUCAGAGACAAAUCUAAUUUCAGUUAAAAGGAGAUAUAGCAGCAUUGUGGUAAAAUCUUCUGGUGAGUGUUACCUCAACUCCAGCCCACAGUUUUUGGAGGACACUAAACCAAAAGACCCCUGUUGCUAUGUGAUGGUAGGUCUUACCCUUCCCUUGUUUUAUGUUUCUGUAUUUUCCUGAUCUAAGUUGUUUGAAGAAUUCAAAAGAUACUGCCAAUGGCAGCCAAAGAUGCCCCAAGUGGAAAUGGGAACCUUUUGUUUAUUUGAGUUGCAUUAUAUGAAAACAGAUGCACAGCCAUCUCUUUGCUAUUGCAUUCGACCCUCUGAUGCUUCUAUUAAGGCAGAGUAUGGGUGGAAAAUUCCAGAAGGGAAAAAAAAACCCAGUAGGGUCUGGAGAGGAACACUGAUGAAGCACCACCAUCCAUUUACAUUAUAGCUGGAUCUGUGCACUUUAACAAGCAGCAUUUGAAUUGUCUCUUGGCAGUUUCCACAAUCCAUCUUUAGUAGUCAGUGCUGGAUAACUAAGCAAAUGCUCCAGUCUGUGGCUCUGGGAUGUUUCAUAAUCAGAAGCCUCAUGAUCUGAAGAGUCUAUCUGCAUCAUGCUUUGCUUGCCCGUAUCACCUACAUUGAAGGCCACAUAACCCCUUGAGGAUGAGGGGCGAUCAUUCUGUAGCUCUCUGAAAUGGAUCAGGCAGCCGCUUCUCACGUACAAACCUACUAUGCUUUCAAGGGAGUUAUUGAUUUCUUCCAAUUUUUUGUUUGUCAUUUCCUCGAUUUCUUUUAGGACCCCUUUUCAUUUCUUUAAGAACCACCAUCGUCUUCAUAAAGUUGGUUUUAAGGACAGUCUCUUGUGCUUAGCUGCAGUGAAAUGUUCAGAUCUUGCUAUCACAAGAUACCUGGGCGGCUCUGAUGAUGCCAUAUUGCAUUCUUACACUGGGGUUUAGGAAUCUGGGUUUGGGAUGAGUAUAGGUCUGGGGGGCUAAUUUCUGAGUUUGUCCUUGUUGGGUGGGUGUUUUGUUCUUUGGUUUCUGUUUCUUUCUUGUUCUUCCCGUCUUUAUGGACCGGAUCUAGUAAGGAGUCCCUGAUCAGGUUGGGGGCCUAGACUUCAGACAACUUAAUUUGGCCUUUGGUGCAGCAGGGAAUGCUCUGUUUUCCUGGCUUGUGUGACCCACACCUGAGCAGUGGGAGUCUACUAGAAUUGGGGUAAGAGCACGGUAGCAGGACAGGCAGUGAGUUGUGAUGGAGUGACAGUGGAAUGUGUCUUGGGGAACCCAGUCUAGGGAGUGGGUCCAUUCAGCAGGCAGGCAGGUAAUUCUCCUGUUUGUCUGACUGGCGUGGCCUGCACAUGAACCACAAGAGUUUCACACUAUACUAUCAAGAACAAAUGGGCACUGGGAGAUUGUAUUAUGGUUGUGCACUGACAUGUAGAGAAGCCAAACUAUGCUUUCAAUGUCCACAUAGCUAUAGUAUAGAAGGAAUGAAGGGUGGUCCCAGACUGCUGUCCCACAAGUCCAUGGUGUAACUGUGACUUUUAACUCAUAUAUUUCUGGUACCCCAAAGUGGACAGCCACUGUCUCUAUUUGCAGGUUUCCUGAGGUGGGCAUCUCCUGUCAACAAUUACCUUCUACCUACCCUAGCCACAAAAUUUACUCAUCAUGCCUGAAUAAUAGAAGAUAUUUGUCAUUGCUGUCCUUGCCUUUCUUCCCAAAGACAGACGCUGAGUCAUAAUCAGUGUUUUCAUGCCAGAGGAUAGGUGCCUGGAAUGUGGUCUCUAUUUUUGCUGGAUGUAUAUAUGUAUACACAGACACACAGACACACACACACACACACACACACACUCAUAUAUAUACACAUAUACAUACAUAUGUAUACACACAGAUAUGUCAUAUCUGAGCAAAGUUUGUACCACGCUGAGUCUUUAAGCACAGAUGCACAGCAGGUGGUAGGCAACCUUGCCUGCACAGUUGAAUGAAAGACUAUACAGACAGUGGGCGAUAGAGAAUCAGGCCUGCUGGCCUCAGCAUGACUUGGUGUUUCAAUGGAAGUACAACUAGAGUAAAAGAUAGAUGUCUGGUGAUGGAAGCAGCAGGAACCUGGGAGACUUGAACUGUAUCACUCAUGGGGAUGGCUUAGGACAAACUGCAGUGUCUCAACGCUUGCUCUCCCCCCAACUCCAUAUUCACUUCUGAGAGGCUGGGGACAACACAGCCUUUCCUUUUUAAGUUGUUCUAUAGAUGAAAUGACACCAAGGAAGCUUGCUCCUUGACAUCAAGCAGGUGUCAGGUUAGAUAUUCAUCUCAUCCAUUUGGAAAGUUUUUAUGGAAUACCGGCUUCAGAUCAGGAGACCACAGCUGUGGCCUACAGUCCAAAUCCACCCCACUCCCAACAUCUUGUGCAUAUGAAAUUUUUCAUAGGAAUGUAGUCCUCCGUAUUUAUUUGCAUUCUGCCAGUACACCCUCUGUAUUGCAAAGCAGAACUGAGGUGUUAAAGUAGAAACCCAAGGCUUGCCCAUCAUGGGGCCUUCUCUUUAACCCCUUCACCCUUUCUUCCUGAAGUUUUUAGCUUCUGUGUUAGAUAACUAGAAGGAAGAUUUGAUCAUGAGCAAAGCUGUAACUCUGCCUUGCUCACUUGUCCCUUGCCAGGUUAUGAUGAACCUGAAACAUAGGUGAUGGUGGACAGUGAGGGGAAGAGGAUAGAUAUCAAGGAAGGGCUUCCUCUCCUUUUGGCACAGUUUGAACAGUGAAGCCAUUCUCUUCUCAGAGAUAGAAGGCCUAAAAGGGAACAGGGAGGGGAACAAUAACUGUUCAGGGAUUAGUUACCUACUUGUACUUGCUUCGUGCUAGGUUGAAAAGUGCAAAGGAAUUAGAAAAUCGUUAAUAUGGUAGGUUUUACAUGUGGGAGACAUCGAUAAUACAGAAUGUUUUGGGAGUAGUGGAGGUGUGUGUGUGUGUGUGUGUGUGUGUGUGUGUGUGUGUGUGUGUGUGUAUUGUGUACAUGUUUGUGCAGGUUUGGUACAGAUUCUUGAUGUCCAGAUUCUCAUGGACUAGAAGCUGACAUCAAGUGCCUUCCUUUCUUGAUCUCCAUUGUAAAAGGGAAUUCCUAGAAGAAAGCUGUCUGCCCUGGCUGACUGCUAAAAUGUCAGCGAUUAUGGAGAGUUUGGAGUGGUGCUGAUCAGAUUAGCCUUUUUAUGGUUUUUCUCUGGCUAUCGUUAGCUCCCUAUACAGGCAAUUUUUGCCCAAACAAUCCUGAUCAGGACUAACAUCUAGAAAAGCAGAUAAAAAUAGACCAAUUUAACAAAAUCUUCUCCUCUAGUGGAAAGUCUGCAGUGCUGUCAGAUAGUGAUGAUCACUCAAAGUUGGCUCCAGAAUCAAUGCUCUUACUCUCUUUGAGGCAAGAGCUGUGUUUUUGCCUGGACCAUCUUGUUCUUUUGAGAUAGAGUGAGUCUCUUGCUGACUCUGACACACUGGUUGGCUGGUCCAGGAACCCUGGGGGAUCUUCUUGUUUCUACCUCCAAGUAGUUGAGUUAAAGAUACACACUGCCACAUUUGAUGCUUACGUGGGUGUUGGAGGUCGAACUCAUGUCCUCAGACUUUACCCACUGAGCCUUUUUCCAAACCCCAAAAGUUGGGUUUUUUUGUUUUGUUUUGUUUUCUUUUCUUUACUUCUAAGUUACGAGAGGGAGAGCAUUAUGGAAUAACUCUAGGGAGGAGUCGGAAUGGUGAAGGAAGUGUUACAACAGCAGGGGUCAAGAUAGCUGAGAGGGAGAGAUUUGCUUUAGUCUUGAGGUCAGAUAGAUAAAGGGAGAUGUGCAGGCAUGUGGGAAAAGAACCCCCAGAUAAGAAGCAAUACGGUUAAUGCUCAGAGUCAGUAAUACACCUGGUAUAUUUUAGAAGCAGAAAGGAAGUUAGUGUGGUGUGGGCUGAAUUUGAAGAGAAUGAAGGUGGUCUGAAUGAAUAUGGCCCCCAUAGGCUCCUAGGGAGUAACACUAUUAGGAGGUGUGGCCUUGGUGAAAGUGUUUCACUGGAAGUGGCCUUUGAGGUUUCAGAUGCUCAAGCCAGGCCUUACGUCACUCUUUCUUCUGUUGUCUUUAAACCCAGAGGUAGCACUCUCAGCUAGUUCUCCAGCACCUUGUCUGUUUGCAUACUGUCACACUUCCCACUGUGACAGUGGACUAAACCUCUGAGCUGUGAGCAAGCACCAUUUAAAUGCUUUUCUUUUAAAGAGUUGUCAUCUUGUCUCUUCACAGCAAAGGAUACUACAACAAUUAUUCAGUGCUAGUAGUUGAGACCAGAGAGCUCAUGCACCAUUGACAGUGGUCAGAGGCCAUUGUUUUGAAGGUCUAAACACACAAGGUAAAUUCUUCUGUAGGAAGUCUCAACCAUAAGACAGAAACAGAAGGUAAAUUUGAAAGGGUUUCUAUUGGAGAAAGUUAACCAAAUCAACCCAAUAGUAGAAGACUGGCUUUUCUCCUAGACCAAGAAGUGACUCAAUGUAGGUCAGAGACGUUUCCUCCUUCUCCAGGGGAAGCAGAUGCUGAUAGCAUUAAAAGCUUAGGCUUGGUGCCAUGGGUAAUUAAAGUCCAGGAUGGUUUAUGAGAGGGCAGGGCGCACACACAGAAAUCAGUGUGCAAGCCUACAGGUGCAGAUAGGGAUGCAGACACCUGCUGUGUCUGUGUCAGUGCCACAGUGUACAAUUGGAGCAGUGUCAGGGAAGAUUACUUUCCUUUUUCUGACUCCAGAAAAUGUACCAUCCAUACCCCCUUUUUGUGGGUGGCAGUUAUCAAGACAGAGGUGUAGAAGGCUGUUCCUCACAGACUGUGUGAUGCAGGAUGCUGGCGGACAAGUGGACCAGAAUCCUUCUGAACAGGCACCAAGAGAAAAAAUUCAGAGCAGAUGUUCUCAGUCUGCUGCCAUUAUGUGGAACAUAUUUUCCCAUUUCCUUCUGAUGGCUAUGGACCAGUCGGGGAAGAUUUGUUUGUACUCCCUUUGUUGAGUGCUCUGUACCCAAGUGCAGACUGGGGGUUUUUGUUUUGACUCCAGAGAGUCCUGAAGUACAUUGUUGGUGGCUCACACUGACCUUAAUCUUGGAACUGCCCAAUUCAGCCUCUUGAAAGCUGGGGUUACAAGUGUGAGUCAACCAUAGAAUAGCCUCUGACCUGCAGGACAAAUAAGCUUUAGUCCAGAGAAGCAUGCUCCUCACUUCCACCAACACUGGGAGAAACAGCAAAAGAAAAGUCUGGGCUUUGGCCCUGGAGAAUAUGCUGAAAUAAACGAUGUGCAGUUCAGAGUAUAGAACAUACCCCAAUUAUCCAGUCAAUGGAGUCCUACAGCUUAUUGGGUUCCCUGUGACAUCUCUCUACCUUCUACAAUUGUAUCUACAUUUUCUUGCCCUAAAGUAUAAAGUUUUCCACAACUGUGGAUUUUUUCAUAGCUGCUCUAAGGUUGUAGAAAUUAGGUAUUUAACUUGAAUGUGGUGUAGAAGUGCCAAUAGGUGUUUGGAAUUCUAUUGAUCAUGUCUAGCCAUGUUUCCCACAUAUGUAAGGCUUCCUUGUCCUUAAGAAUAAGUCAGAGUAUGUUUACUGGACACUUGAAUAUUACACCACUACAUCCUGCUCAGUGGCCUAUGCCUCGUUAACAUCAUCAGGUUUUUGCAUCCAUUUUACACAAGAAGAACUUGAAGCACAGAGACAGACCCAGAGACCCAGAGACCAAGCCAAGUGGUAGCUCUUUUGAAAUUUCAGCUUGCAGAGUACGGGAUCUGACACUUAGGAACCAUACUUCCCAGAUACUACAAUGCACAAGAGUUGCUUGUAAAGUUUUCAAAGCUCAGAUAGCAUCCCAUCCCUCUAGAGAUUCUGAUUUCUGUGGCCAGGGUUAAGGUAUAGUUAUCAAUGGUUUUGCUGUGUUUUAUUUAUUACUCUGUGUGUGUGUGUGUGUGUGUGUGUGUGUGUGUGUGUGUGUAUGUUAAUGUACAGCUGUGUGCAUCCCAUGACAUACCUGCAAAGGUCAGCUGGAGACUUGACUCCUGGUAAUUAGUUCUUUCUUUCUACCAUGUGGGUAGAACUGAAUUGAACUCAGGGCAUCAGGCUUGGUAGCAAGCACUUUUUCUCACUGAGCCAUCUUGCUGGACCUUUUUACAUUUAUUUAAUGACCGAUUUUAUUGUGAAGUCAGUUACUCAAAAAUUCCUAACAGAAUGUACAGCUGAAUUGUGGUCAAGGACAAAUUUGUGACAGAGGAAACACCUCAAUGCUUCAGGGCUUCAUUUGCCCAGCACAGCCAUCAUCCUAACCCCACAUCAGCCACUCUGCUACUUCCCCACCUAAGUACUCAUCCCUCUUUUGUGCUUGUUCUUGCCUACUCAGAAGUUUAUAUCACGACAGCCAUCUAGACUGAGCUAUUUUGUGUCUAUCCUGUGCUUGUGAUGUGAAACCAUAUGUUUCUGUGCAGCUUUCACUCAUUUGUGUACAUUGCUGUGUAGAAUUCUGUUGUAUGACCAGACACAGUGUCAGUCACCACGAGUGGAAAUUUGGGCAGAUUCUUACAUUGGAAUAUUUUAGGUAAGGUCUCUAUAAAAUUGGAGGUAUAUGUUCUUUGGUACAUAUAUGUGUAUUUUUGUCUUCAAGGUUUAUACAUAGGAGUAAAAUUGUUGGAUAAAGUGUGUGUUUAUCUUUAAAUAUAUUCCAAAAUGUCUGUAUGUUUUCCAAUGUGGUCCCUAGUCCUAACAAAGGUAUCUGAGAAUUCUGUCUCUACUGCAUCUCACCAACCAUUCCUAUUGUCAUUCAUUUUGAGCCAUUCUGGUAGGUGUGGUGAAGUAUCUUGUGGGUUGAAUUUGCAUUUCCCUCUUGGCUUGUGAGGUUGCUUGCUUUUCAUUUUGAUAAAAGCCAUUGGAGAUCCUCUUUUGCAAAGUGGGUACUUCAGGUCUGACAUUACUUUUCCAUUACAUUGUCUGUGUUUUUCUCAUAGACUCUGGAUAAAAGCCCUUUAUUAAUAAUUACACGUGUAGGAAAUAAUUCUUCUCACUCUGUGGUUUUUCUCUCUGGGUGCUUUUGUUGUUAUUGCUUUGUUUGGUGGACAAAAAUUCCUAUUUUAAUGAAGUGCAAUGAAUAACAUAAAUCACAUUCUUCACAACAAAGCCCUGGAGAUUUUCAAUUAUUUUUUUUUUCUGGAAGUUUUGUCCUUUUUUUUUUUCCAUGUUGAAGCCUACCAUUGAGCUGGAAAUGAUUCAGUAUAUGGUAUGAGGUAGACAUUAACCUUUCUUCUUCUCCUUCUCACCCUCUUUCUGUAAUUGAUAGGAAGUUUUCAUGGGAACAUCUUUUGAAACUUGUAAUUUAUGAGUGUUUGCUCAUAUUUAUUUAUACUUCCCAUUAACCUUAUCACUGGGAAAUAACCCCAUUAGGGGAGACACUCAGUACUUAGGAGCAUUAGUUUCUGUUGUGAAGGACCAGGGUUCAGUCUCCAGCCCCCUCAUGGUAGCUUACAGCCAGCUGCUCCCAGCUGUUCUGGGAGAUCCAGUAUUCCAUUCUGACUUCUGUGGUCACCAGUCACACAUAUGGUGCAUACAUGUGUGUAUACAUUGGCGAAUUGAUAGAUUAAAAAGCUAUACCACAUUGUUCUUGUGGAUUCCAAUUUGCCUAUUUCCACUGACCUUGAAAAUGUUACUCAUAUUUGUCUCUUCUUUCAUAACUACUAUAGUCUCCAAGACAAGCAUCUCUCAUUACCUUCAAACGUAUUGUCUCUGUUUCCCAAAUUGUCAAUUUCUUCAAAAUUCACUGACUCCACUUCUUUACAAGUUCCAUACUUUCUCUUUGAAAAUAAUCUCCUCCUCUCUCACUCCCUCUCCCUCCUCCCUCUUUCCUAUCUUUUCAUUAUGACAAACGCUCCCACUAUGUAGCUCUGUUGUUCUUGCAACUCACUAUGUAGACUGUGCUGGCCUCAGCCUCUCAGAGAUCCAUCUCACCUAGAAGCUUUUCUCCUCUCAGGCUCGUUCAUGCUCCUGACACAGCUCCAGUGGGACAUUGUUGGAUGUGAUGUUCUGCUUUGGGCAAAACAGAUUAUGUUCUUUUCCUUAGUUACUGGAUUCUAAUGCUAGUCUUUUACUUAGGAGUUUUGGUUCUAUAAGCAUUUGUAAUAAUACCGUGUCUGGUUUUUUGAAAUUUUAUUCUGGUCCCUUUCCUAAUAUGUAUAAUGAGUUUCAAAUUGGAUCAGAGAGUGGCUGUUCACCAAAACUCCUAAGAAUUAAUGAUUCAUAUGCUAUUACUUGAGAGGUUAGGAGAACUUCUAAUUUUUAUAGUAUCUCUCUGCUGGAUUGGGGAUUUAAAAAUUACUUUGGUUAUUCACAUGUUAUAUUUAAAUAGUGUAAUUUUAAAACUUUUUAUAAGAUUAAAAAUUAUGAAUGAAAGGUAGAAUUUGGCUUGUUGGGUUGACGCACGUCCUGAGGAUGCUGAAGUAGAUGGAUCUCAAGGAUGAGAACAUGAGCUGCACAAUGAUCCCGUUUCAAAUUACUGAAAAAAAAAAAGAAUAAACUAGAAAACCAAAUCUAGAGAACCAGCUAAAUAUAAACAAAAAUAUGUUACUAGGUAGUUGAUAUAUAGAUAUGGUUAUUUUUUUCCUUUUUAAAAAGAUUUAUUUAUUUUAUGUAUAUGAAUACACUGUCACUGUCUUCAGGCACACCAGAAGAGGGCAUCAGAUCCCAUUACAGAUGGUUGUGAGCCACUAUGUGGUUGCUGAGAAUUGAACUCAGGACCUCUGGAAGAGCAGUCAGUGCUCCUAACCGUUGAGCCAUCUCUCUAGCCCACAUGGUUAUUUAUUUUAAAGUCACAUUUCAAAUGAUAAAUUAUAGCUAGUUAAAUCACUGUCCCAAGCUUAAUUUUCUUCUUAAUUAAUGAUUUCGUAUUUUUUAUUUGAAUCCACUAACUUUAAUAUGGUUUUAUCUCAAUGAGUUGAAGCCUUGAUUUGUUUUAAUCUAUCUACCUUCCGUGUUGAUAGUACUAGUAGUACUGAAUUAUACUCUGAGACUGGCUUUAGAUGCCCCAUCUAAAUUAUGUAGGAAGUACUCAUUGUUAGUCAUGUUUCAGGGGAAGAUGCUCCCUUACAGAGUGUACCAAAUGCCCCUGAAGGAUCUUGUAAUGCUCACAGUAUCCGUGUAGUAGACUGGCACAGCCUUGUCCAUGCCAGAUACCUUAACUUCACUUUCUCCCUUUUCCUCUCCAAGUAGCUACCUUGUUACCUUGUACUGCUUAUGCAAACCCACACCAUGGCCAGCGAGGCUAAGUCUCUAAGGAUCAAAGAAUAUUCUGAAGAUCUGGUAUAAAGGGAUAGCCAGGGGGCUCUAGGUAUUUGAGCUCAAGAGUAGUACAAAGAAUUUCUCACUCUUAUGAUUAAAGCAAGCAAAACAUGAGAUGGCGUUUAUAGUUAGCUUAAUCAAAUACAAGGACAGUGAGGGAAUACACUUGGUGUUAAGUCAUCAUCUUUGGUCAUGUGAAAAUAGCCAAGACUGUUCCUCCCAGGUCAUUGCCUUUCCCACAGACAUAAAGUGGGAACUCCAGGUCAUUCUUUUCCUGUCUUUCCUUUCAACUGUAAUCACUUACCAUACUUCAUGCAAUUCUUUCUAGAAAGUACCAUGGAAAGAACAUUCUGCCAUUCAUAGUACACAGUAAAUUUACAGCUGUCUUACACGGCCUCCCGCAUGCCUUAUUUUUCAAGCACAUUUCCUUGCUGUUCCCUGGCCAUUGACUAUAGAUAUACACCAUCACCUUGCUUCCUGUAAGAGGAACCCUUGAGUUAUACCUCGUUUUGUGGAAUCGAGUGCUAAGGCUACCUACCACCUUGCAAAUCCUUACACAAUAUUGCUGGACAAGGGUCUUGAGCUAGAAAAGCUACCCAUACUGGGAAUGUGGAUCUAUUCCUGUCAAGAGGAAGGGAAAGUUGUUUGAGAAGGGCUGAAGUACUUAGCAUGAAAUCACUGCUGGGUCAAGCUAUUUUCUGUGUUGGGAUCCCAUUUGGUCUCUUUGUUGUCAGGUUGGGUUCCAGAAAAUAAGUGUUGAGGUGAAUCCUGUUAAUGGGCUCUUGAAUAGGCUGAGAGAACAGAAAGGAAUUUACACAGAGAUAGGGAGAAAGUUAGAAACACUUAAAUUCCCACAAUAUGUCAUCUAUCUUCACCAUAGUUCCAGAAUCUUGAACUAUCAUUCAAAUGAUCCCAAAUUCAGACAGUGAGGUAGAGUUUCUGUUUUCAUGCUGGUCAGUCACCAUCUUUUCACCAUUUCUGGAAAGAGAUGUGAUCUCAGGUAAGGGGUGUUAGGCCAGGGUUGGGCUAACCUUGGAGGGCAGGCUGGUCACGAAGCUACCCACUAUUCUUUCUGCACCUGAGUGGGGAUGUUUUGUUCUAGAAACAACAAAACCUCUGAGGUUGCUUUACUGCAUCUACUCUAGCCUUUUAUGUCUAUGUCCCUGGGCAAGGGACUGCAACUAUGAAAAGCCUAACACAACACAUGUUAGGGAGAAACAGAACUAACAAAUGACACCUAACCCUAGGGCAGGUCUUCAGAAAGAUAAGCCAUCUGGUGGAAAGUGUACUCUGAUUUGGUGAUUGCAGGGUGUGUAGGAGUUUGCCAGUUAUCACUUUAAAAAUGAGGCAUAAGGCACCCUUAGAUCCGAUUAAAUUUUACCCCUAAACUCUGAGUGUCAGAGUUGGUAUUUAAAACUAAGCAGUCUGAUAUCAGCAUACUGCUUUUGAUUGGAAGAAUAAAUCCUUCUCUCUGUCUCCUUGGAUUUACUUUAAGAAUUUCAGAGCCUUGAACCUGUAUUUCUCAAAUGACUACUUAGUUGUUCUCUGUGCUGCCCUUAACACAUCACUGAGCUGCUGACAGGUGUAGAAAUUUGGCUUCAGAAUCUCUCCGUCAAGCCCCAGCCUAGAGGUCCUGCAGCUUCUGGGGUUUAAUGGAUAGUGCUGAGAAGUAUUCAGGCUUGAUCCUUUCAGCUUCUGUUAACCCUGACCUCAUUGUUUCCGCUUGCAUGCUCCUAGGAGCCUGUCCACGUCCUGGUUUUUGAAAAGUCAUCCCAUGACUGUAUAUUUUUGUCUGCUUUUCUCAUGGAGAAAUCCAUUCAUUCACAUUUUAUUUCUACAGUGUUUGAACCACAUUGGUGCUCUGUCCCUAUCCUGCACAGUGAUAGGAUUUGGGCAUCCAGAGAGAAGUCAGCUGUAGUAUCACCCAAGGAUGAGGAGAUGGUCAAGAGAGCAAACUGUAAACGAGUGGUGCUGCCCAUGUCAGGGAAACGGAACUAACUCUCAGCCCUAGAACAUGUCUUCAAAAACGAUAACCCUUCUGGUGGGGUGUGCUCUGACUUGGGGUUUGCAGGAUGUGUAGGAGUUUGUCAGUGACAAACUCAAUUUUUACAGAUUCUCAGCCUCCUCAGGGAAACUUAACAAAGUGUCUUAGAACCAUGGCAGCAAACACUAACAUGGAGAUUCUAGGUGCUGUUUCUCUGGAAGCUUGGAGCUUAGACUGCCUCUGGAGAAAUUCUCUUACUCCUCCCAGCAUUCCAUUUGUGGCAUUGAUUUGCCUUAUCUCCACUUUACAAAUGGAAAAAAAAAUGGGGCAUUGAGAUUCAGAGGGUGUCAGUAACUUAGCCCAAUUGUCUGAAUUGAGGAAAGCCAGUAUUUGGACCUGGAUGCAGUUUUUCAAUGUUGUUAGUCAUAGUCCUCCCCCAGAGUCACUUGCUAAACACAACCAUCUUCCUUCUCUCCCCUAUCUGAACAUCUACACAGGUCAAAUCCAACAUCUACACUGAUUCUUUGGAUUAAAGAUACCUCUGUGCCCUGGGUCUAGCCUCUUUCAGAAAAUUUGACUGUCAUAAAAAGGAACAUCGGAACCCUGUAGGGUUUUGGGUUAGGCAUCAUUUACAACUGUAUGGUACAAUCUGCAAAGGAGAUGUUACUGCAUUGCUGAUUUGUGUGGCUGGUAACUGCUGUUGCCUUGGUAACACAGGGAGCAGGGGCCAUGAUGAGGAAGGAACCCCUCACUAUUGGCUCCCAGGCUCUUAGGGAGAUGAGGUAUUGUUCUUCAUGUCAAGAAAGUUCAGCCCCCAAUUCUCAGUUGGUUUGCCUGACUGAGAAGACCCCUGUCCUCACCACUGACCUCUACAGGAAAGGGAACACUGUGGGCUUGGAUUUGUAGGAUUCAUAUUGGGCUUUGGGGUUCAUAAAUACUGGGAGUGCAGCAUUUUGGUCAUUUGCUGCUUAUUCCAGGCACCUAGAAGAGCACUUGGCCUGUAGUGGGUGCUACACUCACUGAAAGAAUGAAUCCUAGUUGCAGGCUGUCGGUAAGCUUCACAGCAGUUAACUUGAUAAGAUGUCGUGCCACAUCUUGAAAGAUAUUCUGAAAAAACAGCCCUUGUCCACCUGGAUGGAUCUUAAGAGUGUUCAACACCAAUUAGAAAGGCUUCAUCCGUCCCAGGCUGGAAAGGAGACUGUUGAAUGCGCAACUUUCUGGAAAGAGAGAUUGCAGUGCCCUCUACAAGGCCAAGGCUCUGGCACUUUUUGUUAGUUUGAGUCCAUGAGGUAUUUUCUUUCUACUUUCUGCUUCUAUUUAUUCCUCCCUCUCUUUCCAUCUCUCCCUUCCCCUCCCCCCCAACAGUUUAUAACAUAAGCUACUCCAUUUGAUUCUGACAUCUGCCUCCAGGGAAUUUUCCAUCCACAAGAAAAAUCUCCUUUAUUUUAUUCUACCAGUUCUGACUCUUUUAACCUUGUGGGAGUCUGGAAUUUAGAGGACCUGAAUAGGCUCUAUAAGAUAUAGUUACAAAGCUGAGAAACCUGGACUAUUAACGACCGCUACGACUACAAGGCCAGGUAACCCUUUGGGUGCAUCUGGUCAAGUGUCAAUGGCUGUGGUGUCUCCUCUGUAGAUCUCUUACAAAUGCUGAUUUGGGCCAGUGUUAGGGACUGUCUUCCUCAUAGAAUGAGUGUUUGUCAUAUUAAUGUAGUUGUGAAGCUUAACAUUGUCACUUCUCAGCUAUGUAGACCUGAACAAGUGGCUUAUCCUCCCUGAGGCUUAGUCUCCAAGCCUGUAAUCUUAGGACUAAUAGACCAACCUUUGAAGAUGUUGGGUGAAUUCAGCAUCUUUCUAUCACACAUACAAAACAUAUGCUGAUGGUCUUUGGAUUAUGAUGUUUCUUGACCUCUGGGCCUACUGUUUUUACAACAUGAUGUCCUUUUCAUGUCCCAAACUUCUACCCAGAUGCUCAGCACCCUCUCACCUCCCUACCUUACGGCUCUAAUCUCCCUUGAUGUGGAAAGAAAACCUUAAUUCACCCUCCCUUCCCUACAACCCUGCUUUGUAGUAGACCUUGAUGAACUGGAGCUCUAUCUCAGGAAUGGAAGAUUGCAGAAGUGUCUGUUAUGUCUCCUUGUGCAUUACACUCAAGAGGAGCAGGCUGGGCUUGGUGAGAAUUGACUAAUUAGACUCAUGAAUUGAUGGAUUGCUCUGGGCAUCAUUUCUCACUCACCGGUAUCACUGGCUCUUAUUUCUCUUUGGUGUAGUGAACAAAUCACUCAGCCCAGGUUAUGAAAAUGGAGGAGAGUAGGAGAUGACGAAGGGUACAGUGUGUGUGCAGGAUGCACUCUGCACCAUCUAUUGCUUGGAAACAGAGAACUGGGCUGAGCUGUGUGAGCAUCAGUGUCUCUUUACCCAGAUUCUGGUGUUUAGCUCAAUCUAUUCAUGUUUGGGAAAAUUCCAUCAUGUGUGUGGAUGUAGAUAUGUCAAUGAAAUAGGAUUUAUGAAGUUGGCCUGAGUCUCGUGUGUAUGUUUUGAUGUUGGGAGAACUCACCAUCUUUUUCCCAGCCUAAAAGCCUGUAUUUAGGUUUCACCUUAGCUUAAAACCCACACAGAAUCAUACAGUCUUUGUUUAUAUUUCUUGGUUCUUUGAUGUCCAUCAGGAAAAGCAAGGGUGAUAGUCUCUGCCCAAUGAGAUUUUGCACAAGAUGAUGGAAUGAACUGAUUUUUCUCAUGCUCAGUCAAAUUACCUAGCUGAGUACUGAAUAAGUACUAUUUUAACACUGCUCUCCCUUACACCACAAAACUAUAUAUCUGGCACAUCUAUACAUUUGUCUUAAUCAUGUUAUCAUCACCAGUAAUAAUACAACUAGGAUUUCUUGGCCUCUGUAUAAUCAUAGGUGGGCUGAGCCAAAAAAAAUAAUUUUAUAAAAUAAAUGCCAAGAUUUCCUCAAGAGCUCCCAGAAGGGAAAUCAGGGGCAAGCUGAGUCCUAACUGCAGCAACAACUAGCAGCUACUUAAUUCGGCGUGAUAUGUUCCAUGUCUUUGUCUCUGGAACAAUUAGCUGGAUGAAUAAAUAUCUGUCUGCCCUCAGAAAGGGAACAUAAUAUGCAAUUAAAAUUAAGGACUUUCUAUUGAGGGGACCUGCUCCACAGAAUUAUAGGAGGAAGCUAUUAGAGAAUAUUAUUGUUUCUCAGAUUUGAGAAUCAAGGUAAUUAGGAAAAGCUAAACACUAAAGACCAGCUAGGAGGUUGAGUAGAGGGAAAAGCGAGACUCACAUUGCUGGUUGUGAGACACAGCUGGUGGUCUUGUCACUUUCUGGAGUCCUUGUCAAUGAUGCCUGCUGGAGGUUGUAACUGUGGAAGAAAAGCCAGACACACUAAUAAACCCUUGUCACCUUCUAACUUUUCCAUUUACUUCCUAUGUUUUUUUUCUGUCUUCCAAGCCUUGUUUUUUUUCUCAUGUGAAAAAAUGGGGUUAAUCAUUUUGACCACAUAGAUUUGCUGUGAACAUCAAGAUGAAAUGAUCCGUAUAAUGUGUUUCAUGAAGUACAAUUGGUCCUGGGUGCCUGUAGGUUCUGCUUCUGUGGGUUCAACCCACAGAAGAUGGAAAUUGUUGACAGCAAAUGCAUCAGUGCUCGAGAUGUAUGGAGUUUUUCUUACUAUUAGCCCUAAACAGUACAAUAUAACACCUAUUUUGCAUAUUCUUACUUAGAGGUAAUUUAGAGGUAACAGAACAUGCUGGAAGGUAUGUAUGCUAUGUGUAAAUAUUCUGUCACUUUAUAGGAAGGAACUGAAUAUCCAAAGAUUUGGGUGUCUGUGUAGUUUCUGCAACCAAUCCUCCUUGAAUACUGAGAGAUUACUCUUCAAGGGAGUAGUUAGGCUUUUAGAGGUCGUUCUUUUCUACUCAUUGUUGUGUAGAGAUGUCUACAUGAGACAGAGAGGUUUAUAGUAAAAAGGCAGCAGUUGGCACAUUAGAGUUCAGGAUGCCUUUGACUUCCAUCUCCAGAGGACUUGCACCUUAGGGCCAUUUUUUAUUUCAUAGAAUAAGAAUCCAUGCUUGAAUGAAUAGCCUAGUAAGGGCACCAGUGGAAGGGGAAGCCCUUGGUCCUGCCAAGACUAAAGCCCCAGUGAACGGGAUUGUUGUGGGGAGGGUGGUAAUGGGGGGGGGGGGAUAGGGAAGGGAACACCCAUAUAGAAGGGGAGGGAGAGGGGUUAGGGGGAUGUUGGCCUGGAAACCGGGAAAGGGAAUAACAAUUGAAAUGUCAAUAAGAAAUACACAAUUUAAUAAAGAUGGAGAAAAAAAAAAAGAAAAAAAAAUCCUUGCUUGAUUCAUGGCCCCCAUUGGCUAUUCAGUGAUUCUCUUAAAGUUACUGUUAGCAUUUCAAAUGUCAUAUCUGUCUGUUGCUACAUUUAGAAACAGGAAAGAGAGUGUCUCUUCCCACAGAUCUCUUUUGCAAGUCUACAAAAUCUUUACCCACCCUCACUCUGCCCCUCCUGCCUUAUCCCCCAGACUUAACCACAUGCAGAUUAACAAGAAGAGCAGAAAGUCUGUGACCUUCUUUACUUUCUGAGACUAGGAGGGCCCUCCUUUGAGGCACAUAGGUCCCUCUAUCUCAAACAAACAGAAAUACUUGGCCUGAACGAAACAGAAGAACAGUUUGGGAGUGGGCAGGCAAAGACAUCUGCUUGAGUACAUGGUGCCAGAUACCAAAGACAUAUGGACAACAUCGGAUGGAACAUGUCCCUAAGAAGAGGGACACCAGUGUGGCAGUCCCUGCAAUGGUUUUGUUUUGCUGUUGGGCUAGAGUAGCACUUGCAUUUUACUGACUGUGUAUUUUAGUAUCACCUGACUUUUGAGAAAUGUUUUUUGCAUAACUAUUGUUAUAUCCAACUAUCUUGGUCACUUUUCUACUGAUGUGAAGAGAUAUCAUGACCAAGUCAACCCUUAUAAAAGAAAGCAUUUAACCGGGGCCUUGCUUCAAGUUUCAGAAGCUUAGUCUAUCACCAUCCUAGCAGACAGCAUGGCAGCGAGCAUGGCACUGGAGAAGGAGUUGAGAGCUAUGUGUUUUUCCAGAGAAGGGAGAGAGAGAGGACAAGAAGGAAGGAGGUAAAAAGAGAGAAGGGGUAGGGAGAGAGGGAGGGAAAGGGAGAGAAAAUGAGACUGAGAUUGAGGCUGAGCCUGGGUCUUGCACAGAUUUUGAAACUUCAAAUAAGACCACUCCUAAUGACACACGUCUUCUAAACAGCCACAGUUUCUACUCCUUUCAAACAGUUCUACUCCCCGGUGAGUCAGCAUUCAAAUGUAUGAUCCAAUGGGAGCCACUCUUAUUCAAACCACCACACCAGCUAAUUCCAUUUGUUUUCAAAGGUGUCACUUCCUAAAAUAAAGUAACCUGUAUAAUACAACCAUUUUCUUUACAAGGUAAAUGCUAAUUUAUUCAUAGGACAGGCCUUGUAAGAGGAACUGAUGGUGAGAAACUAUGUUCUAGAAUCUAACAGUUGCAGAACUUACCAACUUCUGGGUGCUGUUGACAGAAUGAUUUCAUUACUUCUUAACACAGUUCUGUAAAUACUCUGUUGUUCCUAUUCAGUGGACAUGGAAACUGACUGACCUGAGCCAGAAACAACUUGACUGAACAGAAACAACAUGAUUUUUCUGGAUCCAAGGUCCAGCCUAUAUGAUGAUUAUUCACCUAAUAUUUACCAAAGAGUCACUGUUUGCCUGUUGCUCUGGUCAGCCCUUGGAAUGAAUUAGAAUCAUGCACUGUCUUCACUCUCAUAGAAUUUAUGAUUUCAUCAAUAAACAGAUUAAGAAAUGUGGCAUUCAGUCAAAUGGUGUGCGCCAUGGUGUGACAGAAGCAAGACAAAUGUGUUGCAUGACACUUUUCACCUCCCCUUCCCUAUUUCAUGCUUUCUCUGGUCUUUUAUCUCUUCCCACCCACUCUUUCCAUGAAGACCAGGGCUCUGGAGAGAGAGAGAGAGAGAUAGAGAGAGAGAGAGAGAGAGAGAGAGAGAGAGAGAGACAGAGACAGAGAGACAGAGAGACAGAGAGACAGAACCAAGGAUACAGAGCUAUAUUGAAAGAGUUACUGUCAUAUUGACUGAGGUGGUUACAGAUGAAUUGAUGGCCCAUGACCCACCAUGGGUGAGAAAUCUUGUAAAGGCCAAUUGUGCAGAUGUAGCUUAGACCUAGCUGCCUAAAAACCAGGACUAAUUGAUGUCUGGAGACAAGAGAAGAUGAUGCUCAGCUCAGCAAGAAAACCCAAACUUGUUCUCUCUCUGUUUCGUCUAUACUCAGACCCUCUGUGGACUGGAGGUUGGCAACCACGGGGAAGGAUAAUCUUUUUACUCAGUUUCCUGAUCAAAUUCUACUUUCUUCUAGAAGUACUCAUUAGACAUACCUACAAUCCAUACUUCACAUGCUUCCGGACAUCCACAGUCUGGGCAAGUUGGCAAAAUUAGUCACUUACUGUACUUUCAUUAAUAUAUCACUUCCUCCUUGCUUUUUUUGGUGUAUGUGUAUUUAUGUACAUGUAUGGGUAUAGGUAUAGAUACAUGUGUGUGCACAUGCAUGUAGAAGCAAGAGGUUGACAUCAGGUAUCUCUCUCAAUUAAAUUCCACCUUAUAUAUUGAGAUAGAGAGUCUCAUUACAAGAGUUUAAUGCCAGAGUUCUCUGAGGAUUGUAGGGGUUUCGUGUCUCACCCUCCAGAGUGCGAGGAUUAUAGGCAAGCUGCCAUUUUGUUCCCGAGUCCCCUCUCUACUUUUUAAUAGCUCAGUUUCUUCUCCAUUUUCUUUUACUGGCUGCUUCUAGUUACUGCAUGCAGUUCAAUGGUAGAUUCCUGCCCAGGACCACAGGGCUGAAACCCUGUUGUUUGGGUUGUGUCUAUUCUAAUUUAAACUCUUUACCUGCAGGCCCUUGGACUCCUCUUCAGUAAAAUGGAACAAAUAUCUGCUUAUACGUCUACAGAGAGUGGUGGGGAUAGUCAGACACUCUAAUUAGUAUAAAACCAGAUUGCAAAAGUGGGGAGAGAUAUGUGAAUGAGGUACUGACAUUAAAAGUAUCAAGGACAGGGAGGUUGCGAACAACAUAGUAGGUGUCUGCAUGGGCCUAAUGCAUUAAGGAACCAUCUUUUCUAGAUCAGGAAAUUUGUGUUGAGAAGCACCUGCUUUCUCAGUUCUCUGCUUAUAGCCUUCUAUUUCUAAAAUUCUCCCAUUCCUUUCUCUUUGCCAAAAGACUGGAGUUAAUGAGACCAAUGUGCAGUUAUACCCAGGACUGGGGGAGUUAUUGGAAUAACAAUGUGAGGAGUGCAGAGAGGGCCUUGGUUAAAUUCUAGACUGUGGAUUGCCAGCCUCCUAUUUGUAAUAGGGUAAUUAUGCUUAUUAUGAUGUAAAAUACCACUGAUUGUAAAAGAGGCCAUCAAUUUAACUACAACUUUGAAAAAGGAGCAAAAUCAGAAACAUUAGAUGUACCAUCCAUUUAAGACAUUGUGACUUUAGAAAUGCAAUGUGGAGAGAAAGAAGAGUGUGUCUUAUAAUUGAAGAAUUAGGGUAAUAACUCUGGGAAUUUGGAUUGGCGAAGUUACCAAAAGAAAAUAGAUUUGGUAGAAGAAGCAUGUUCAUAUUUAAGUAAUAUCUGGAGUGAGACAGGCCUGGGCUUCAGGCUGAAUCACAGGUAUGGCCAGAUUUUCUCCUGUCCCCAAGAAACCCAAAGUCAGCAAAAGAAACUGAUUCCUAAUCUGAAUGACUGAUUUCAUGAUAGUAAGACUAGAACAUUGUGAGUACUUAUUCAGAGCGUGGUAGGUAGGGAAGGGAAGCAUCAGAUGCGAAUUCCUAUAGGGAACAGUGAACGUGUGCAGGAUACAGUAAGUGGUCUGGGAGAAGAGGCAUUGAAGGGGAAGUCCAACACAAACAGAGCUCUCCAAGUGGGCAACAUGGCCAUGAAUCCUUAUGUGGAGGGUCCAUCAGAGAGAGGCAGCAUUUAUGCUGGGAGAAAACAUUGGCGAGCCAAUAACUAGACAUUAGACUGAACCUUAGGAUUCGUGAGCACCCUCAGGAACCAGACUAAACAUCUGAAUUCACUGGCAACACCGCUGGGUAGAUGACCACGUUAGCUAAACCAAACAUAUCUCAAAGUGCUAUCUAGGAACCUCAGAUCCAGGCAAUCUACAGUUUCUGAGUUUUAGAGAGACCUAGAAGAUGUCAAGGCUAUUUUCCUAGUAAUACUAAUACCUCCAUUGUCCCUUACAGUCUCAUUUUCUUGUGAGUAUACAGUGGUGUUUCUCAGAGGCCACAGGGCACAUGUGGCUAAGAUUGAAUGCAAAGACAGACAGGUGGGUCCAGCUGCCUUUAUCUAAUCCAGACCUUUGCAGAGUGCAAAGAAAAAUAAAACAGCACCAUGUUUUUUCUCUAUAGUGAUUAUCUACCUUAGAAAAAUAUACCUUUUUCUCUGAAAGUAAUAUCACUUUGGCUAAAAUGUGGUAGAUUUACCACUUUGAUUGUUAGGAUGAAUUAAAAUAUAGUCACAACACACUUGUAAUAAUUUCAGAUGACGUCUUGCCAGGGCUGGUAUUUGGUCCUUUGUACUGUUUUCACACCUCUGGGAUGAGAGGGGAUUUGGUGAGUUGUGGGUUUUACAGGUGAAGAGACAAGCUCAGAGAAGACAGACAGCUUUCUCAAGACAUGGAACAAAUCAGCACGAGGCAGGAUGCAAGUGAUAGCUGUCUAACUUGGGUCUAUAGACUUCUCAUGAUUGGUUCUGUGAAUGGGCACAUAUUCAACAUCCUGUCCCAGAUGUGUCCAGAGCUUUGAGCCUCUGUUCUCUGAAUACCUUCCUUGGUGAUCCCUUAUGUUUUUUGGGAGCAUGUACUGGUCCUAGUUGGUGAGGAUUUGCAUAUUGAUACCCACUAAAUGCAGGGGUCAGAUGCAGAUCCAACUCUGGUACCCUCAGAGGGAAAGCUAUGGCCUUGCUGGGCUCUGAGAGGCAAUGGAACUGUCUCCUAAAUUCAUUCCAGGGUAGCACUUGAUGUAACAUCCUGAAGCAGAGGGUGUAGCAUAUGUCUUCCUGUGGUUCUCAGCAGAGCUAACCAGGUGCUUGCCUGUGUCACCUGCCAAGUCAGGUUUAGAGGAGACACCAGAGAGCAGGGCCAGAAGAACACAUAGUUGGUGUAACCUUUUGUACAUCAAGCCCAGUGAGCAGAGGACUAACUUAUUUUGGGCAAUGGAAUUGUGGACUUUCAUUUUCCUCUGAUACUUAUUCAUAGUGAGACCCUAGACAUGGAACCUAACAGCUCUGUAUCAGUUUCUUCUGAGUAAAAUGUUCAUCUUGUAGAGUAGAUGUGAGGAUUAGAUGACUAAAUACAAAGCUCUUGGCCCUUGAUCUUGCUGAGAGAAAUGAUUAGAAAAACAUUAUUUGAAAAGUAUUAUGUAUUAUGGGUAUCUUUGAAUGUAUCCCCACGUUCUAGAGGCUCAAUCCCCAUCACUAGUAUGGUAAGAGGUAAUGCUUAAGAGAGAUGAUGAGGUUGGUACUCUGCCUUCCUGGGAGCUUAAUGACCUUACCACAGGAGCGGGCUAAGUUAUCUUACCGGUGGGGUUGUGAAAGAACAUCUUAGCUGCCACCUCGCCCUCUCUCAAGAACUCUUUCAGUCUUUUAUCUUCUGCCAAGAAUGACAUAGGAAAAAAGGCCACCAAAUGUUGCUGCCUUCAUCUCAACCAUUCAAGGUUUCAGAAUUGCAAGAACUGAACUUCUUUUCUGUAUCUAUUACUCUGCUGUGUCAUUCACUCAAGUCACUGUUGUGACAAAAUACCUCCCAGGAAGCAACUUGAAGAAAUGCAGGAUAUAUUUACACUGAGGAGGUAUGUCCCAUCACGGCCAGGAAGACAGGGUGGCAUGAGCUAGCCAUAGUGUGUACUCCAUCAGGAGGCAGGGACUGAAGAGCAUCUCAGUCCGUGGAGUGGUACUUCCCAUAGUUAGUGUGAGUCUUCUCAUUUCAUUGAACUUAAUCUAGGAAAACACCCAAACAUGUUAACAUGUUGCUUUGAAAUCCUACAAAGUUAGCAAAUUAAAUUAACCCACUGGUAUGAUGGUUCCCUCUAUAAGGACACUUGCUGCCAAGGCUGACAACCUGAAUUGGUCAGGAACCCCCACAGUAGAGACAUAGGAAAGAGCUGACUCCAAGAUCUUGUCCUGUGACCUCUAUGCAUGCACACAGUAUGGCUAAUAUUCCAAACCAGCCUGUGAGUGAGAGUUAGAGAGCAUCAUGGGUUCCAGCCUAAGCCUACCCUGCUAUGCUCUGACUCCACUGCUGCAUGGAGCAAAUCAUCUGGGGACACUUAGCUGGUGGUGUCAGGUGGAAAGCAUUAGUGACAGAGGUUCUAGGGCCCUCUGUGGAGCUACAGUCUUAGAAAGAAAAGCCAACAGAUCAUAGCUGGCGGUAUCAGCAAGAAAAGGAGUGCUGCAGUUUUGAGGAGAAACUCUAAGAACCGAAUGAGGUUAUUGGUAGCUCAGAAUAAGUCACUCAAAGGACAGAGAUUCACUCAUUCCUAGUGCCGGGGCUGCAAGCUAAAGCCUGGAGGCUCUAGUGAGAAGGAAUGGCAACCCUGGGUUAAACGCUUCUGGAAGACUAAAUGCCUUUUCCUCUGAGGCUUGGAUAAUAACAUAGAAAUCUCUGACUUUCGUUGGCUGCCUACCCCCUCUGUGUAGCCCUCCAGACCUAAUGAUAAGGCACUGCUGAAGAAAGUGUACUUACUGACAGGCAGUGAAACAAAAUGGUUUCUAUGUGUAGUGGAGACACAAAGCCUCUUCAUGGGCAUGUAUGUUGGACUACCAGGUUCUUAAUGGUGGCUACACUUGGUGGGAUAGCCUGUACUCUUCCUUAAAUGCGCAGGGCUUUAUCAUGAGAUGUAAUACUAUGGGGUUUCUAUACGGUUUCUCUUGUUUGGCUUCUUAAGAUGACACAUGUCACAUUCUGUGUCAGAAAAGAAUACCAUACCUUAAUUGUUUAUUAUUUUUUAUGUGACAGUGUUUUGCUAUGCAGUUUGGUUAGCCAAGAACUUAUUAUAUAGCCCAGGCUGACCUUUUAUUUACAGUCUUCCUCUUGCCUCUGCCUCCUCAGUGCUGGAUUACAGAUAGGAGCCAAGACAUGUAUCUUUUAACAAAGCAAGCUAUCCAAGGAUCUAAUCUGGUUGAUCCUACUCUUUGCUGCUAGAGACUUUAAGGUGGUCACAAGUGACAGUUAUUGAUCACUCAUUCCCAACUCAUCUUGCUGUCUUGUGUCAGCCAAAUCCUCCAUUCAGAAUUCUUCCCUCUGGACAGGUUGGUUUGGAGUCUUUUCCCUCACUUCACUGCUCCCUCCCUCCCUGAAUAUUUUCCUUCUCCAUACUUAGCUGAAGCCUGUGGUUUGAAUGCUUGUCCUACUAUUCAGCUACAAGCUAGUCACACCCCAGACUUCCAACUUAGAUUCCACCGGCCCAAGAGAAAGACGGUUAUUCUCAUUUAGAACAAGGACUGUGUUUCAGAAAGAAUAACUCGCUUAUCCAAAUUACUAAGUAUUUGUUUUUGAUUCAGUGUCAUUUCCAGUAGAUCACAUUGCUAUUGCACACACUGACUACCAUUUCCUCAGGAGAUGAUCAGAGUGCAUUAGGGGCACAUUAGGGGUAUCCUGAGUGCCUCAUAUUUCAGAAACCUCAAAUUCUGCCCUUUCAGAUUGGAAAUGAGAAGAUCUAGGGAAAACAAUUCUCUGAGAAGUUUCCUGUAUACACAGAUCUUUCUGCCUCAUAGCAUAUUCAGCUGGAAGAGAUACAGGGGAGGUGUGGGUGUCUGACUAAUGAGAGAUCUAUGGAGGAUUUGUAUAUUGGAGCAGGUAGAUAUACCUAGAACCCUAGUUUAAGGCUCUGUGCUCAGAAGUUCAGACCUUUGCUUAGCAAAUUACUACCUUCCUAUGCCACAGUCUUCUGCUCUGUAAAAGGGAGCUUGUGACCCUGAACUGGUUGGAUGUGGUAAGGAGUAAGUGGGAUCAGGCUUGCAAAGCAUUUGGCAUGGUUCCUGAGUCAUUGUUCAGUGUUUGUGAAAUGCUGCCUCUUGUUACAGAUACAAUUAUUAUUUCCAGUAGGACCAGUAAGAAGGGAAUUCCUGGCAGUGGGCUCUGCUCCUUAGGAUCUACUUGGGCUAUUCCCAUGGUGUAACUGGACACUCCAUCACUCUGUGGCUGAAUUUGACUUGAGCACCUUUGAUUGAUUGGGACUAUUUGAAGCCAGGGAGCAAACAUGGCUCUAAUGGCACAAACAGUGAGCCUGCCAGGGGAGCAGGCUGGUGGCUCCAGAAAAGCUCUCCCUUGCAGGCCAGGAGUGCUGGUGACUUGGCCUAGGCAGGCAUCAGAGUUUAUCCCAGGACACCCUGAUAAUAUAACUGUACUUCCCACAGGAUUGGGUCUCUGCAAAAUUUAUUCACCUAAUCAUACAUCCUCCCUCCAAAGUGUAAUUCAGCAAGUUGCAUUAAGCAUUCCCUGUUCUCAAGCAUUGGGCUUUGCUUAUGUGCAAAGGAUCACAAACACAAGCUAUUUCAUUCACUUAUUCACUCAUUUACUCAUGCCUGCAAUAUAUAUUAAUCCAGAAUUUACCUUGUGUCAGCAUAGCCUCUGGCUUUUUGGAGUUUGGUAAAUUGGGAUUCUGUGCCAGCAGAGAAAGUCGGAGGGUCUCAGGUGAAGUGUGGAGAAAGUCCUAUUGUCAAAAUUACCUUGGCUAAAUGCCCACCGAAUGUUACCUGAGCCUGGAGUGAUGUGUGAGAUUCAAGCAGGAGAGAAUGAGGGAAGGGAAUUGUCACAGAAUAUCAUAGAGUGGGCCCAGUACUCAGAGAGUAAUGCUGUCAAGCCAUCUGUAGCUGGGGAAGACUUAACAGUGUCUUCCCCAGCAGACAUUCACUGGAAACUCUGUCACACUUGAUGAGUUCUUAUAUGCAGUGGUCAGUUUCCUCCAGGAACAGAUUAUGUUUUUAAAGCUCAAAAACAUUCAUUUUCAGGGUCAGAUGGUAUGUGUUUAAAUCUAUACCUUUAUCUUCUGUGUAAUCAUGAGCUAUCUACAGCUGAACAUUACUGUCUUAAUGAGUUAGCUAUUUUUCUAUUAGUAUGAAGAGACAUCAUGAUGACGACAGUUUUCAAAAGAAAGCAGUGAAUUAGGUAUUUACAGUGACAGAAAGUAAGUUUGUGAUCAUAAUCAUGUAACAUGGCAGCAAGUAAGCAGACAUGAUGUUGGAGCAAUAGCAGAGAGCUUACAUUUUGAAAUAAUAACCAUAGGCAGUGGGAAGGGGAGGGAAAAGAAAGAGGAGGAGGGAGGUGCAAAUACUAACUAGGAAUGGUAUAGGCUUUCAAAACCUCCAAGCCUACUCCCAGUGACAUACCUCAUCCAACUAGGCCACACCUCGUAAUCCUUUUCAAAUAGUUCCAUCAACUGUGAACCACAUAUUCAAAUAUAUUAUCUUGUAGGGGCUAUUCUCACUCAGAUCUCCAGUUACAGGCGAUUGUCCUUAAAAGUAGAUAGUUAAAAUGUUAUAGUUAUGUGUGUUUGGGCUUGUUAUUUACUUUGUAUUUUGAGUUAUAACCUAAUGUAAUAACUCUUACAUGAUUUAUCUUAUUGUUUAGACUAUUUUAGUUAUGUGGCUGUUGGUUCUGGUGUUGCUUUCAUUUGUGUCCUUUAAUGCACCAUCCUUGGCCUCUUCCUCUUUUUCUUUCCACUCACUUCCCACCCCCAAUCACCUGACUUUCUUUUGAAACUCUAGGUUCAUCUUCACAGUCUCUGCUCUGCUACUUCUAUCAGUUAUUGCUUCAGGGGUUUCCUUUAACUGAACCUUAGCAUUAAAGAUGAAGGUCUGGUUGGUUAGUGAGCCCAGCACUGUUGAGAGAGAGUGCUUCUAGAAAAGCUCCAGUGCGGAAGAAUUCCAGAAAAUUUAUGAGGGGACUCUCCCUCUGGGAGGUAGAAGAGCAUAAAGUACAACUCAGUAAGCGUGAGAUAUUCAUAGUAACUUACUUCCAAUUAACCCAGCAGGAAAUAGGAACAGCCUCCCAGAGGAAAAAAUCCCCUGACAGGAGCAACCCCUGGCAGGUGUUCACAGUGAGCAUCGGCAGUCAGUCAUGCUAAUAGCACAUGCCAUGUAAUGAGAACAACCUUUAUUUUACCUCCCAGUACCUUAAACCCCGGUCUUAUAAUCAGGAGAAUACCCUGCAGCCCCAACUUGAGAAACAUACAAACUGCCUGACCUAACCUCAAAGCUGCCAAGAUUAUAAAUCACAAGCAAAGGGUGAAGAGCUGUUAUAAGAGGCAGAAUCCUAAAGGAAUAUGGUGACCAAUCAUAAUGGAUGCGCACUAGAAUCCUGUAGUAGAAAGGGAAGUAUUGUAAUUUGGUGAAGUCUACAGAAACAGAUCUUUAGCUGGUAAUAAUAUACAUGAGUAUAACCCAUUAGCAAUGACAGAUAAUAAACCUUAGCAAUGUAAUAUGACAAUAGGGGAAGCGUUGGGGGUCGGUACUAGAGAGCGACUUGCUAUGCUGUUACCCCAAGUUUUCUGUAAAUGUAAUACUAUUCUAACCAAAAUUUCAACACUGUUAUCAUUACUUACUGUUUACAAGUCCCCUGUGAAAGCAAGUAUGCCCCCCCCCGUGCCCUUCUGAGGAGGUAGAACUGAUUUAUUAUUCCUUUUAUUUUGUUAUUUUUCUAAACAUUUUAAAAGUUUUUUUAUUUAGUCUUAUUUUGUGUGUAUGUCUGUUUUGCUGGCACGUGUCUCUGUACCACAUGUCCCCACUGGCCACAGAGACCAGAUGAGGGAGUCUUCUCUCUGGAACUGGUGUUAGAUGAUUAUAAGCUGUUGUGAGGAUUUUGAGAACCAAACUCAGGUCCUCUGCAACAGCAACCAAUGCUCUUAACUGUCUAGCCAUCUCCCCCACCCUAAAAGGAUUUACUUUUAAUUAUGCAUGCGUGUAUGUCUGUAUGUGGGUAUUUGCAUGUGAGUGCAGUGUUAUGGAUCCCUCAGAUGUCCUGGAACUGCACUUACACAUGGUCGUAAGCUGCGGGUGCUGAGGGCUGAAUUCAGUUCCUCUGCCAGAGCUGUGUGUGCUCUCAAUCACUGAGCCAUCACCAGCCCCUUGCCUUUUCUUUUAAAUGGUUCAAUAGUCUCCUCAGGCAAACUCAGGAUCCAGGUAGCUGAUUUCAAAAUGGGGUAUUUUUCUUAACACCUACCGUGUAGUGUACUCAGUUGUUUGCUCUGAUGCUCUGGGAGUUCUGAUUCUUGACCAUUCUGGGAAAGGCGGAGCUCCUGGGAGCAUGCAGCUUCAUGCAGAGCACAGCGGCACCUGAAUCUCUUUCCUUCUGGGAAGGGACCUGGGAGAAAGGCAUUAGUAGAAAGUAAGUGAUGACCUUUCUGCUCUGGGUCUUCCAGAAGUGCUUGUAAAACUCAGCAAGUGCUGGUGCCUUGAACAUAGCCCAGUCAUCCUCUUCAUUCUCUGAUUUCCUCUUUGAGCCUUUCCUGGCAGGCACUAGGGGUUUAAAGAAAAUCACUGGAGGAAAUUGUUUUGCAGUUGGAAAGAAAAGACCCAUCUAGUGGCUUAAUUUGCUGUGCAUAUUAAAGUUAGAGUUACUAUGAUUUUUUCGAUUCAGUUUAAGAUUUUAAAAGCUGGGGCUGUAUCUUACUUUGACAAGUGCUGCCAGUAGGUGAAAUGUUGGACAAUUCAGUCGCAGAGUAAAAUGUGUGAAUGACUUAAUUUAAUAGGGAGAAGCCUUGAGCUAGCUCUUUAAGCACCAGUGUUCUUCUAGAGUUCAAUUCCAGGACUUUUCAAGGCCAAAUAUGAGGUCAUAUAAUCAUGUUAAGGGAAGAAAGUGUGAUGCUAAUAUAAGAAAUAACCAUGGAUCAAUAUGAUCAAUGUACAAGGGAAAACAAUCCAUGUAUCAUUAACUGCCACCCGUAAUAGUGGUUACGAGAUGAGCUCAGGCUUUGUGUGAUGUGACCUCAGUCUGAGGCACAGUGAUACUUGUUUCUUUUAUUUGUUUCCUCUCUGCUAUCUCUCUCCUCUUUUUAAAAAUCUCUCUGACCUGCUUUUAAUAGGUAUCUAGUACUUCAAGAUGUAUAGCUCUAAUAGAAAAAUAAGGAGUAAUUUAAAAAUAUUUUUUAUCAAGCUACCAUAGUGAUUUCAAAUUUCCAAAUAUGAAAUUAGAGUCCAGUCUCAAUUAUAAAUAUGAAAUAGACUUCGAAAAUAAUAUGUCAGCAAAAGAUCACAUCAGUACAUUAAAAGAAACUUCCAGUGAUCCAAUGGAAUUUCUUCUGGGACAUAACAAUAGGUGAUCUGUAACAUUUUUCUGUAAUUAGUAAAUUAGUCUAUGGAAAACAAACAUAUGCUCAUCUUGAUAGAUACUGAAGUUCCAUUCAGCAAAAUUCAAUAUCUAUCCAUUGAAAGUUUUCUUAGUAAAAUUAGCAUUGAUUUAUACUCUUUUAUUUGUAAAUAUAUAUUGCCUUAAUUCAAAAUCCAGGCUUGGCAAGAUGGCUCAGCAGGUAAAGGUACUUUCUGCCAAGCCUGAUGAUCUAAGUUCAAUACCUGGGACCCACAUGGUGGAAGGAGAGAACCAAUAUCAGCAAAUUGUCUUCUGACCCUAACCAUGUACAGCCUAUCUAUCAUGUGUCCAUGAACACAUAUAUCCUAUAUAUACACACAAUAAAUGGGUGAAUAAAUGUAUUUUUAUUUAUUGAUAUUAUAUCCAGAUCCCUGCACUCCCCAUCCCUGGACAGUCCCUCUGCCCAUCCCUUCCACUUCUCCUCUGAGAGAGUAGGCCCCACCUUGGGUAUUCACCAACCCUGGAACAUCAAGUCUCUACAGGGCUAGGUGCUUCUUCUCCCCCUGAGACCAUACAAGGCAGUCAAGCUUUAGGAGAAAGAUUUUCACAGACAGGCAACAGCCUUAAGGAUAGCCCCUCCUACUCCAGUUGUUCGGGAUCCACAUGAAGACCAAGCUAUACCAAAGGGAGUGUCCAGCCUGUGCAUGCUCUUUGGUUAGUAGUUCAGUAUCUGAGAGCAUCCAAGGGUUGAGAUUGGUUGACUCUCUUGGUCUUUCUGUGGAGUUCCUAACCCCUGAGGGACCCUCAAUCCUUACCACCAACUCUUCCAUAAGGAAGAUGGGGGUUUUUUUGUUUGUUUGUUUGUGUGUUUUGUUUCGCUUUUGCUGAAUGAAACUUUAGUGUUUAUCAAGAUGAGCAUAUGCUUGUUUUCCAUAAACUAAUUUACUUAAAUGAAAAAUGUUAUAGAUCACUUAAUGUUCUGUCCCAGAACAAACUCCAAAGCUCAAGCUCCAUCCAGUGUUUGGACGUUGGUCUUUGCAUCUGUUUAAUUCAGAGGCUAGGUGAAGCCUCUCAGAGAGGAGCCAUGCUAGACUCCUCUCUUCAAGCAUAACAGAGUAUUAUUAAUAGUGUUGGGGAUUGGUGUUUGUUUAUAGUGAGGUAACGCAGACCCAAAAGGACAUGCAUACUAUGUACUCAUAUGUGAAUAUUAACUGUAAGAUAUAGGAUACCCAUCCUACACAGCCCCCAAAGAAGCUAAACAAGAAGCAAGGCCCAAGUGAGAUUGUUUGAAUUUCACUUAGAAGGUCAAAUAAAAUUGUAGUAGGAGGAAGAUGAAGUGGGGAAUUGGGUGGGAGAGGAGAUAGGGAAAGGAACAGGAGGUGUAGGAUCAGGUGUAGCAAGUAGCAAGGGAGAUACCUAGAUGGCUGUGAAUAUGAAUGGAAAUCUGCUGCUGGCAGCAGUGGGGAGCAUCUUGAGUACAUGCCAGAGACCAGGGAUAGGGCGGCUCUCAAGAAUCAAUGGGAGUGACCUUAGCUCUGACCCACAGCAUUGGGAAUAUAGAAACUGAAGAGGUCAUCUCCUGUAGCUAGGGAGGAACCCCAGUGGUGCAACAGGGACACCAACCUACCCCCACAAUUUUUGACCCAAAAUUUAUCCUGUCUACAAGAAAUGCAGGGGCAGGGGAUGAAACAGAGACUGAAGGAAUAGCCAAGCAAUAGCUGGCCUAACUCAUGAGCAAGCACCAAACUCUGAUUCUUCUAAUGACUAAAGGUAAUUUUAAAGUAACCAGUAUCACGCUUACUGAGAAAAUAAGCUACUCCAUUAAAGAGGAAUGAGAGGCAAAUUCGCCCACCAUGCACACUGGUAUUUGACAUUAUGCUGGAGACAGUAGCAAAUGUGAAUUUGAUAUAGUGAGGACUUGGAGGUGUGAAAUUAGUAAAGAAGUGAUAAAAAGCCAUUUCUAACUUAGGUCAUAUAAUGGCUAGACAAUUUGGACCAAGUGAAUAUAUUACUGAGAAAUUCAGUAAGGUGGUUAGUCUUAACUAAACAAACUAUUUUUUCUUUUAAGUUGGUGGUUUUUUUUAUCAAAGCAGCAGGGAAACAAACUAAGAGAUCAAGGUACAGAUAUGCAGAAUUCAACACACAAAUAACAGUGGAGCAGAAAGCCCAUUGGUCGUAAUAAUAUAACAUUAAAGUACCUACAAAUAACUCUUAGUGAAAAUGUGUAAGAGCUUUAUGAAGAAAACAAACAUCAAAAUACUCUAAAAAUAGGCAACAAAGGCUCUUAGCAAAUGGGAGGGCUUGACAGGCCUUAAUUAAGAAGCUUAGUAGUGUUUACUGCAUUUAUAUUCACUUAUAAAAUUAACCAAAAUUAACAGACUAUAAACAUAGCAGAACUUAAACUAGACAGUAGGUGCAUAUACUGAAUGGAUACUGUUUUUUCAGAUUUUGCUACUUACUCCCACGACAAACCACCAGGCACAUGGCAAUACCAUUACUACAUCCAUGGAAAUAAAUGGGAGCAGUGAGAGAGGGGCUUGCUUCCCAUUGCACACAGCUUCAAAGUGGCAGCACCAGCCUGAAGCUCAGGCAAUCUACUUCCAGUGUCUCCUUCUCUUUCAACCAUGAUCUACAUGUGGAGUAACUAGAAGCAGGUAGUGUGAUUGGGUAUCUGCACUCCUACCCUUUUCUAAUAGGUAGACUAGAGAACGUGCCUGAGAUUGUUGAAGAAUUAAACUGGUUCGGAAAACAAUAUACGGUCCUAGUGCCAAGUACAGAGUAGGUAUCCAGCAAAUGAUAGCUCCUUGGAGCUCAAUGAAAAAAGUACUUAACAUUUUCUCAUUGGUUUGUUCAACAUAACUUAUUAUGCCUUUAGAGAGUGCAAGGCUUCAUGCUUGGCUCUUGGUAUAAAAAACUGUAAUGAAUACUAAAUAAAUGAGUGAAUAAAUAGAAUAAAAAAAACUAAGCAGCAAAAUACAACACAAAAGCAGUCCCAAGACUAUGUGAGUAGCGUUGAUAUUGAUAUUCUAUGUCACCAGAUAAAGGUGGAGAGUAGGAGACAGCCACUUCCAAGUGUUAUGUUUUGAUCAACACUCAGCCUUCUUUAUCCUUAAAAGAAAAAUGAUUAUAUAUCUACUUUACUUGAGUAAUGCAUCAGAGUUGUUAAUCUAUGGUAAAUAGCAAUAGUUAACGGUCAUAAUAAUAAUGCCAGCAUUGGCAUCACCAUAUACUGACCCUGGCAUGUCAGUUAUAUGUCCGUUUGUCCAUCCUUCCACUAAAUUCAUAUACAAGUACAUACAUUACAGAUAAACACUGUGAGGAACUGUCCCAGGUCCUGACCACAUCAGGAGUCAAACACAUUUGUAUCUUCCCUUCUGUAAUUUAUGGAAAGACAUUGAUGACCCUCCCUCCUCAGAUAGGCUCUCACAUUGUCAUCUUUUGGGAAUCCUGGAAAAGGAGCCAAAUGGCCUCCUUCCAGGAUACUAAGGAACAAUUUAAUGGAGAAGGCUUAGGUAAGCCAUAUUACAUAGUGAGGCAAUGAACUAUCAGUCAUAUACCUAGGUUACCAAAACUUGCAUCUGAAGACUAAGGCAGCCCCCUCCUGCCAAAGGUAAUUUCUUUCUUAAAUAGUUCAAGUUCAUCUCUUCUAGCAUUGCCUUUUACAAUUCUAACCACAUCCUGUGCCAUCCUCUGCAUUCUACCUACCCUGAAAUGUUUUAAUUCAACUUUUGCAUUAUGUCUGAUGUGAUGAAUUAAAGCCACAAAUUCAUUGACUAGGUGUCAGGGAAGAUGGAUUGAGGACGUGAAACAAACACCAUUUGGGGACAAGGGUUUGCUGUGACUAUCAGGGUCACAGUGAGGAGGUAAAUUUAUGUUGCUCCUGGUGAGGAGCAAUGCACAAACUUCAAUGUCAUACACAAGCAUAUUUUUUAAAGAAGAGAGAAUUGUAUGUAAAUUUACAUUCUUUGAGAAACUCAAGUCCUAAACAAAGUCAAUUAGGAAUAAAGUGUGAUAUUCCAGCUUGGGAUUCACCAGUUUUUAACAUGAAGUUGGCACUCAGAAAUGAAAAAAAAACAGGCAAUGUGAAUGGGAGCCAGUGUAACUUGAAGGUGCUGAGGGAUCCAGUCACAAAACUUGGUUUUUAAAAGCAAAUGAGUUGAUGAUGGGAGUCUUCUGGAUCCACUGUUAGGUGCUACAUCUGUGGGCUAAAAGUCCAAGGUAGAGGACAACUAAGUACAGCAACAUCAGGUCACCCUGGGUCAGUACCUGGUGAGGUGUGGAUAUGGACCUAUGAAAUCUGCUUUGCAGACCCUUUGAAUCUUUACUCUGUGGCUAUAUAGGUACCCAGUCUGCUUCCCACACCUCUUCCACUCUUAACACACCACCACAUGGCCUGCUAGUGUUUUCCAAAUACAUUCCAAAAAGCAUUACUGGUUUAUGGGGAAAAGGCAUAAUGUCAAAAUAGUUAGGGAAAUGUUUGUCCAUCAUUAAAAGAGCUACCUUAUUCAGUAGCUCUGAGAAAUCCAGCUCAUAGCAUAGAUUUUACCUCAAUGAAGCUUUCCCCAAAUCCUCUUGCUGUCUGAUAGUCUUUUGGGAUUUACAAUGUAUCCAGUAAUAUUCUUUGGAACUACAGUUACCCUUUGAGGAAAUAGUGCUCAAUAGUCAAGGAUGCUCAAUGAACACAUCUUAAAGUAUUGGCUCUCCUUUAAGUACCUAGAUUCUCUAAGCAAGGGGCUGGCUGCUGAAUCUAGUUAUUCACACCUAUACCCUCCCUUUGCCCGACAUGGUCAUAGAAGUCAGAGAGUUUUUGUUAUCUCUUUAUGAGACUUAAUUUUUCCCAUGUUCACAGCUUCUUUAUUAAUGAAAUCUUUGUCUGGUUAAUUUCCCUAUGUCCUGCUUCCCUUUAGUCACAGAAGUCUGGAUUUAUAUGUCCUUACAUGUGUAAAAUCCUCAUGCAUCUCUUUAAGAUGAUCACUGCAGCACUGGCCCCUUGUGUCUGCUUACCUCAGCCCUCACACAUUUUAUUUCUUCUUUUUCAUAUUCUCUCUCUUUCUCCCUGGCCAGUCCCUUGUCCCCAAUCCACUCUAACUCACAUGGUCUGCCUUGAGAUGUCCAGGUCUCUUAGUGGCUAAUCCAAUCCAGCCAGGCCAUCUGAAGUUCACUCAAGAGUAGGCACUCAUCACAGGCUCCUGGGAGAGCAUAGCCCAGCAUGUCAUUAUCUUCUUGUUUGUUUGAUCAUUGAUUUUCCCAACUGACCUGAACUUUUCAAGGACACAGCUUUUGUUUAUUCCUUUCUGCUUCUACUGGAACUGGUUGGUUGGAGCUAAGGAGCUGUUUACAAAUGACUUGGCAAAGUAUAAUUUUGGCAGGUCCUUAAAGCAAGGCUUGAAUAUGUAUAAGUGGCAGAGGAUGUAGAGGUCACACGAAGGUGACCUCCUGAGCAGACAGAAGAUACUGUGCUUGAAACGUUCUGGUAGAAUUGAGCUGAGAUACAAAAAAGUCACCUGUCACUUUUGAGCACAUUUUGAAGCUUAUUUUUCUAGUGAAAAAUUGAUAGUAAUUAGUCCUUAUGAAAUAUUUCAAGAUAGAAAAAGAUUGAUAAAGGAAACUGUCCAAGGAACAGCAGUAUGCACUCGUUGCUAAGACUGAGGACCUGAAUUCAAACCUCAGGACCCACAUGUUGGAAGAAGAGAACUGACACCAGCAAGUUGCCCUUUUGUGCCCUCUACACAAAAUAAAUACAUGUAAGAAAACUACCCCAGACACCCACCAAUGUAAGGCAUUGCUAGCAUGUUAAGAGACUUCUAAACCCUUUUUUUCUCAGAUUUUCAUCAGACAAUUCAAAGCAUUGCUCACCUCCUUUACAUAAAACAUCAAUAUUUUAUAAUGUAAUUGUUUAGUAUUUAUAUCAUGGUUAUGUUAACAUAUUGGGAAGAAGUGAUUGCAUUCAACUCUACAUUAUUAUAAGUACUUCUGUAAAACUACUGGGCCUGUGGUCCUGACUCACACAUAUGAAUGGAUAAUUUAAUGUUCUAAAUAUAGCUUCCCUGAGAUAAUUUCUAAAAUGUAAUUACCAGCAUGUUCUUUCUUUCCUAAUCAUUGAGAGUCCUGUUCUUCUGCCCCCCUGACUCCUCUGAUUUUGUAGAAGAGAAAAAAAAUGAAUUCCAACUGCAUUUCUUUGAUUUCUGUCCAUGCUGGCUAUUUUGGGAAUAUCACUUAUGCUAACCUCUCAGUUUCUUCUUAUUUUAAGUGAUCUAUCUCUUCUCUGUUGUUUUUCUAUCAGAGACAUUUCCACAAGCAGUCAUCUCAUAUUCUGUUAAGAUUUACUAUCCUAAGACACUAUCAGAAAUGAACCAUAGGACAUCACCAAGACAUUCAGAGGACAAAGGAUAAAGUACUGCUUUAAAGAAGAUUAGCAUGUAAGAAGCCAUAUCAGAGAAAGAGCUCUCUGAUUUGAGGCCACUAAAUGUGACCACAGUAGGUGGGUUCUGCUGAGGGAUGUGGAUGUAAGGGCUGUGGUGGUUUAUCCAACACAAGUCAAAGAGUCUUGACUAUGCUUUAAUAUGGCUCCCCCUGGAGCAGCUUUACUUAUGAUCAGAUCCAUUGACAUCUGAUAGAUUUCUAUCCCCCAAGUCAGUCUCUGUAAAUAUGGAUUGACUUGCUAUUUUUGACUCUGGAUAAGUGAAUCCGUGGUAAACUGGCCAUAGACUAGGAUGUGCGGGGCUCACAUUGGUUACCAGAUGAACGUGUACAUGCUGGAAAACUAGUGAGGUGCUUUUGAGGAACUGAAAAAUAGCAUCUGUACCUUGGUCAAAAUGAUGACAUAAUCUGAAGUCCCAUGAAAAUAUUAUAAUGAAUGUCAGAGCUGCAAAGCUAGAGCCAGGCCAUUGCUCAUUUCCUUACCUUAACUCACAGGGGUAUUGCUCUGUGCCCAGUAGUAUCUGUGCCUUAAAAGACAAAAUAUCUGAGUUCCUUCCUUCAUGACACUCAGGAACAGAGGAGAAAAUAAAAUACUAGACAAGAGGCAUUUGGACUCAGAAAACUAUUGAUGAGGAAGGAAGUGGAAAGAGGCAGGAUGAGGGAGAAACAGAGCUGUCAUAGACAACCUGGACACUACCAGCUCCUCAAGUGAAUCUGAAGUCUUCUGGAAGCAGGAAAUGGGUCAAAGAUGAGCAAGACCUGGGAUCUCCUCCGAAUAUGUCUGAAGUUUCGAAUACAGCCUUUUAGUCACCACACUAGAAGUUCUUCAACACUCUGCAUGUACCAGGCAGUGUGGCUACACUGAUUAUUGAAAGGUCUCAGCCUGCAUGGAGCCUACCUUGUGAUGGAAGAUGAUACAGUUACUGCUUUAUGCCAUAGAACAAAGUAGAGUAAGUGUUCUAAGGAAGCAUGAGGGAGUUGUGCAGAUACAUAAACAGAGAGGGUAACAUGGCUUGUUCCAAACACAAGAACGAAGCCAGAUACAUUAAAGUAUAUUGCAGCAGGAAUGAGAGAAGUAAAGUAGUCAGAUAGGCACUAAGAGACCAGUUUGCUAGAGCUUUGUCGGCCAUGGGAAGGAAAACUUCAUUCCUUAGCUUAUAUAAAUAAAAGAGAUCUAUCAUUAACCAGGGUUUGCUUCAGUGUUGAGUCCAUGCUCAGCUCUAAGAAGGUAAGCCUGUGUCCAAAUGUGGGUACAGGAGGGUAGAUUCAAGUCAAAUGUCAUGUAAGAACAAGCAGGGAGAAGGUAGGAACCAGGAGCCACACACUUUCGUAGUGAGUGGGGUGAAAUAAACCUGUUUAUCUUCCUGGUGUGUUGAGGAGAGCUAUUAACAAGAUCAAAGGACACUGUGUGCUUUUAACUAGUCAUGUUGCUGUAGCCAAGUGUGUCUCCAAACCUCCUUACCUGAGUAGGUGAUCACAUGGUAUGUAUUCAGCCCUUCAUUGUAAACUGUUUAGAACUCUACUAACCUUCAAUACCACAGUAUCCAAGCAGCACCUUACAGUUGCACAGAACAGAGGAGGCAGAGAGGAAGUUCAGUCUUUCUCUUGAGACCUCAGCAGGAAGCAAGAACUUACACAGUGCUCCAAGGAUGGCAAACCUGUCAGAAACCAAGGGUAUUAGACCACAUACCAAGACGAAGGGAGUUAUCAAAGUUGUAGUGAUUCAAUUAUGAAAUAUAGAUCGAUGAGCAAGGUAUCUCUGAUCGUGAUAAAAGAUGAAACAUUUCUGGUAUCAAGAAUAAGGAUUUCCAUGUUUUUUAUGAUGCAUUAUUUGUAGUAAUAUCCUAUUUCUAUUUAAUCAGCAUGCUAUAUGUUACUUCAACAUCUUAUUUGGAUCUCUGUGAUACUGUAUUGUUACCACUCAGCAUACAGAGAAAUGGAAUGUGGAAAAGUCAGCUCUUGUUGAGAAGCAGAACAUAUCCAUAAAGAUUCGGGUAUUACCUCAGGAUCCAUCCAUUCUCUUAGACGGUCAUCCAUUUUUUCUGAAUGACUCUAGUUUGUGCCGGCAAACUCACUACCUCUUCCUGAAAAACUCUACGUCAACUCACCAACCCCCCCCCCCAAAUCAGACAAGUCUGUCAUUCUUAGGCUGAUCAGGAGGUGAUAAUGAAUAUAAAAGUUUUGAGUUGUGAGGAAACUGAUAUAUCUCAGGGCCACAUAACACAUGCAUUUUCUUUGAUAAUCUAUCCUCUGGAUGGAGUUGGCUUACCAAAAGAUGAGUUAUGGAAUGAUGAUAAAAGCUCCCUUUGAGAAGAUGCUGAGCAAUUCUCAUGCUGUUGACUUAGACAAAACUGUGUGAGCUCCCUGUAGAGCCAGGCAAUACAGGUGACUCCCAAAGAAUUCCAAGGUGAAGUAAGUUCCUUCUCUGUUAGGCCUCAGAGAAUGCAUUUCUUAGAUGCAACUUGCAAAUUGCAGCUUCAUAUAAAAUGUUUCUGGAAAUAAAUCAUCUGAUUCUCCUUCAUUCUCAAGUGCGAGAUACUUCAUGUGAGGAACUGAAGACAAGAGAUUAUUAGACCAAUGCACUUGCUUUACCAACAUCCACGAUGACUUUUCUAAUGGCAGGCUCUAUAGUUGUACUAAGAAUUUUCUGUUGUCUUUUUUUCCCUCAAGAGAGUUUGAUGAGGGGAAGGAGAUACAGACAUUUAUACACACUACAAGGAAACUUGGUGAAGUACUCAGAAAGGAGCAACUCUAACGUAGUGAUGCUUCAGAAAGGCUGAGAGGAGAGGGUGGAGAUAUGUAUGCAUGUGGUAUGUAUGUAUGCAUGGGUAUAUGGAUGGAAGACAUAAAUUAAUGGUUCAGGAAGGAAAAUAAAGCAUGCUUAUGGCACAUAGAACUUAAGGGAGAAAGCACAAAGGCUUUACAGGGAAGACACAAAAAUAGGGUAGGUGAUUGAAGAAUAGGCAAAGGACAAAGGUCAUGUUUGGUUGGAAGAGGAGCAACCAGAGGUUGAGAUAGACCAAUGGGGAUGAGGCUUAUCAUGAAAUCCUUCACUAUUUUGAACAUUAUUUGUAGUCCCAUAGACUUCAAAUAAGGGAGAUACCGUUAAGAAGAUGAUAGAAGUGACAGGCUAGAGAUACAGGCCUCCUGGAGGAUGUGAAAAGAUAAGGUUGGGACAAAAGAUGUCUUCAGUUCUCUUGUCUCCAUUACUUUGGUUGAAGCUUCUUAGAUCAGCUCAUAGUCACAGCAUUACUGCGGGUGGCUUGACUUAUGCAAAGAAGCAAAUGACCCUAGAGUAGGCUGCUGUCUUUUUAUAGAGCUACUUCUAGAAGGUUCUGUAAACAACUCCAGUAGUCUCAGGGGACAUUAGGUCUUUUUCCUACACACCCCCACUCUUAUCUGCUUGCACCCCCUACCAGUUUUCACACCCCUGCAUCUUGUAUCCCCUCCCAGGUGAACCCCUUGUGCCCUUUGCUUAGAUUCUACUUUGGGGAAAGCCCAAACUAAGACAGAUAAAGAAUCAAGUGGAUGUUAUUUUGUUUUAAGUCAAGUGAAUCUCACGCCAGAUGGUCUGAUCAGAGGAACAACAUGGUAUUCUUUGGCUCAUUUAAAAAGGAUGAUUUUCAAGAUAUUCCUGGACCUCAUAGGGAAAGUGACUCGACUCCCAGAAUUCCUAGUUCUUUAAUUGUUAUCAUUCAUAAUGCUUUAUUCUUUCAUAAGCCACAGGACUAUGAAAGCUCAAGGCUUGCACAUGUUUUAAAGGACAUCUAAUUCAAUAUAAAACUCAGACUUAAAUUGCCUCUGUAGCAUUUCUGUCAUCUGGCCAUCUCCUCUGUUCUUUUCUGUUUUGUUUUAUAAAUAUCUUUUAAUGAGGAACUCACUUCCUCUCAGACAAACCAUCCCAUUUCUGGCACAACAAUGAACACAACCAAUUCAAUGAGUAUUAAUUUAGUAUCUACUAAGAGUCAGACAUUGGAGUUUUGAGAGAAGAAUUAAUCACAGUCUUCAACAUGUAUCUUGCAGCAGUUAAGAAACAAUACAGCAGUCAGAUUGGCUCAUGUAACUAUCAGCUUGGUACAUCUGGAACCAGGUCUUUCCUUCAAAGCCAAUGCCUUCUUUGCUUUUUUUCAAUCUAGAAUAUAGGCCAUUCAUAAAAGAAAGAGAAGCCUACAAAUCGAGCAUAUAUCCAGCCAAAUCCUUGGAAGCCCAGAGUCUAACUGGCAGCUCUGAUGCUCAGAUAACCUAGAUACCAAAACUAGGGAGAUACAUGAAUGUGUGGUCCCUUUUUAAAAAUUUUUUAUUAUAUAUUUCUUUACUUACAUUUCAAAAGUUAUUCCCCUUCUCGGUUUCCUAUCCAUAAGCCCCCAUUCCUUCCCCUCCCCCCAUAUGGGUAUUCCCCCUAUACAUCCCCCUUAUUGCCCUCCCCCUUAUUCCCCUGCACUGGUGGUCCAACCUUGGCAAGACCAAGGGCUUUUCCUUGCACUGGUGCCCGAACAAGGCUAUUCUCUGCUACAUAUGCAGUUGGAGCCCUGGGUCAGUCCAUGUAUAGUCUUUCGGUAGGGGUUUAGUCCCUGGAACCUCUGGUUGGUUGGCAUUAUUGUUUUUAUGGAGUUGCAAGCUCCUUCAACUCUUUCAAUACUUCCUCUAAUUCCCCCAAAGGGGGUCCUAUUCUCAGUUAGGUGGUUUGCUGCUAGCAUUGACCUUUAUAUUGGACAUGCUCUAGAUGUGUCUCUCAGGAGAGAUCUAUAUCUGGCCCCUUUCUGCAGGCAUUUUUUAGCUUCAUCAAUCUUAUCUAGUUUUGGUGGCUGUAUAUAUAUAUAUAUAUAUAUAUAUAUAUAUAUAUAUAUAUAUAUAUGGGCCACAUGUGUGUCAGGCUCUGAAUGGCCAUUCCUUGAGUCGCUAGUCUAAACUUUGCUUCCAUAUCCCCUCCUAUGAAUAUUUUUCCCUCUUUUAAGAAGGAAUAGGAGCAUCUGCAUUUUGGUCAUCCUUCUUCUUGAGCUUCCUGUGGUCUGUAGUUUGCAUCUUGGGUAAUUUGAGCUUUUUGGCUAAUGUCCACUUAUCAAUGAGUGCAUACCAAGUGUUUUUCUGUGAUUGAGUAACCUCACUCAGGAUAUGUUCUAAUUCAUUCCAUUUGCCUAUGAAUUUCAUGAAGUCAUUGUUUUUGAUAACUGAGUAGUACUCCAUUGUGUAGAUGUACCACGUUUUUUGAAUCUAUUCCUCUGUUGAAGAUCAUAUGGGUUCUUUCCAGUUUCUGGCUAUUAUAAAAAAGGCCGCUAUGAACACAGUGGAGCAUGUGUCUUUGUUAUAUGUUGGAGCAUCUUUUGGGUAUAUGCCCAAGAGAGGUACAGCUGUGUCCUCGGGUAUUGUAAUGUCCAAUUUUCUGCCUUAAAGCAUUAUCCUGAGGCUGGAGAGAUGACUCAGCAGUUAAGAGUGCCUACUUCCUUUGCAGAGGGACAGAGCUCGCAUGCAAGCACCCUCACAGAAGCAGGGGCAGAGAGCAUGAAUAGGGGGUUUCUGGAGGGGAAACAGAGAAACAGGAUAACAUUUGAAAUGCAAAUAAAUAAAAUAUCCAUUAAAAAAAAGGACAGUGAUGUUGCUUUGAUCAAUACCCUAUAUGCAGCACAACUCUCCAGGACAGAGAACUAUCUAAUUCUAAAUUUCAAAAGGACAGAGAUCUCCAAACACUUGUUGCACCAAAACUUUCUUCUACAUCUUAUAGAAGUAGAAAAUGCGACCUCCCAGACUUAACACAAUAGCCCAAAGCUUACAAUUAGGGAGCCCUAAGAUAGAAUCAGGGUGGCCUUCCCCCAAAAGCAUCUCCUCUAUUAGGAUACCUGAGAACUCUCCCUAAGAGAUGUCAGUCAGAGGAGAGAGAUAAAAGAAAAUCUUAGAAGCCAAUCCUGGGCUGCCAGAUACAAGGUAUACCUGAGGGGAAGUGCACUGUCUUGUGUGACCUCAUGAACUCUCCUUACAGUCUUUGGGCCAAUUUCCCCAUCAGGAAAGAUCAGAGCUAAAGUAUAUGCCCGGGGCCAAAGCUGCCUAGGUUGUAGGAGGGGCUGGUGAAUGGGGCUAAGACAGCAGUGAGAUGAGCCAUGGUACUGUGUAUUCUAUGUAUCAGCACAUUCAAUAGGACAAAAAUAUGUGUUGUGAAUGUGUGCAGAUCUCACAUAGAGUACAUGUAUAUGUAUGUGUAUAGUGUGUGCUUAUGUGCAUGUAAGUAGACAUGCAUUUGUACAGUGGAUAUCUGCAUAUAUAUAUAUAUAUAUAUUCUUUGUUAUAUGUACAUAUAUAUCGUUCAUGCCCAUUUGCUUUCUCACUAUAGUAGUUAAGAUGCAGGCCCUAGAACCAGAACUUAAUCCUGGUCCUACCACUUUCUUGGUGUUCAUCAGGGAAGCCAUUUACCUUGUCUGUGCUUCUGUGACAAAUACUAAAUAAGGCCAAUAAACUGAAGUCUUUGGCAUGUUGCAAUUUUUAAAGCAAUUAUUAUACCCAGAAAAUAGCAGUGUUUGAAAGUUAAAGGGGUUUGUGGGUUUGUUUGAUAAACUCCAAUUUAUAAGAGGUUAGGCUAGAUUCAGUGCAAGCUGCUGCCCCAGGCAAGUUCUUUUGGCACAUUUACCCUAUGGAAACAGUGCUUUUAAUGUACACAGACAUUUAUCUUUGAUACCAAGCUAUGGGGAGAACAGAAACCUGUCUCUCACUGUGCUUUGAGUAGGGAGGGACUCACACUCCUGUAUUCUCUAGUUGUGCCAGGCAUCAGCUGAUAUGCUCAUGAGAUCUGUGCUCCAUCCAGUGGUCCCCUCCAGCUUACCAGUAACAGUGGUAAGACUGAGAGGGAUCGGAGCCCAAGCUGUUGCCCUCCUAUAUAAAUGUGUUGUUUCUAGCCACAGCUGCUACCCCCAGAGCCCUGUCUCUCUGACCUCCUGGCACAAGAUACACUUGUUUUUCUUGGCUCCUUUCAACCACCCUGAAGAAGAAUACGAGUACAUGUGGGGUCUUUGAGGUUUCCCAAAGCUGUUUCAAGGACCAGAUACUAAGCAUGAUUGGCAAGUGAAUGCACAUCCAUGGAGCCUAGACCUGGUCUCAAGUGACAGCAUCUUCACAGAUAAGUCUAAGCACAAGCAAAUCUGUGACUCAUAACCCAGGCUAUGGGAUACUAAUUUUGGACCAAAGUGCUUCUCCCACUCUCUUCUAUAUCCUUCCGGCGUCCAUCUUUCACCCCAUUAGUUUUUCCACAGCCACAACAUGCAGUUGUGGAAGCUCGUGAUUCACAAGCUAUUUCUCUGGGUUUUCAUGAUUAAACUUUUAUUGCAGAUUCUGAGACAAUGGCUGUGAUUGGUCAAUUCCUGGUCUCAUGCCAGUCCUUGUCUCCAUCACUGUGACAGAGGGGCAGGGUGGUGAUUGGCUGUAUCAAGAUCAUAGCCUGUUCUGGGCAGGUUAACUCAGGAGGGAUGUGGGAAGAUGCUCUUGCCACAGCAGGCCAUUGUGGUUAUGAAGGAAGUACUUUAGGAGGCUGGGUUGGGCAUUCCAGUCUUUACUAGAAAAAAGAAAAGCUCUCAUCAAAGUGAGGCCAUGGCUCACUACUGAGUAACAAAUAGCCUGAGGGGUUUUUAAUAACAGUACUUUAUACACUCGAAGCCCACAGCUCUUCACCUAAGGAGAAAGGAAUCAUUCUACGUCCUGACCUCAGUCUGUUUUCAGAGAUGUGGUAUGGCAUUUCCUGAAAUAGACUUGCUCUUCAUUAAGCAACAUACAGAGCAGGGUGCAUUUGUGUCUUUCUCAAGCCUUAAGCUCCCUUGAUGACUGUUUUAGAAGCUCUGCUCUUCCUCAUUGCCCACUAGAGUAUGCUCUGAUAAGAACUCUAUGGACACUGGGAAGAUGAGUUCACUCGGAAGCUGCAGGAACAUGGACCCCAGCACUUAAACCGUCUGUAGGCCAGUGGCUGAUCUUUGAGAAUAGCAGUGAGCAGAGACCUGACUGGUAAAGGCAUUAGCGAGGGAGCUAGACUCAAGGAAAGUUGAGGUAUUCACUGAGCCAUAGCCUCCAGAGGGUGAGAUCUUGGGUCUUCGAGGCAGAAUAUCUCUUGGUCCAGAGUAGGACAAAGCUGCUUGCAGGCUUUUGAGAUUUCUUCGAAGAAGAAUAUGGCCACUAAAAGUAAAAGAAGCGCAUUUAGAUGUAUAAAUAUGGAGUCUGAGAAGACGAGGCAGGGCCUCUUGAGCAUUGUCUACAGGGACGAGAGAUGUGUUGUUCCACGAACACAAGUUGUCUGGGGUUAGUGAUUCCAUAGCCCUGAGAAGGAAUGCCAGGCUGUCUAGAAGCCUGGUGCUAAAAACCAUCACUGCGAUACAACUGCAUGUUACAGCUGGUUUGCUUUCUCUGGCGAUUGCUCUCAGCAUAGGGGACUAUAUCUGGAAUGUUUUACAGUCCAAUACAUUUGAGUUUUAUUUAUGUGAGUUUACCUACAGGAAGGGGAGGCCCUGAACAUGGAAAGAGAGUUCUCGUGAAUUCUGUCUUGGGAGAGAACAUGGAAGCCAGAAGCUUUUCCUGUAAAUAUUCUUCACAUUUUCCCACUUUUGUGUAUUAGAGGUUUGAUGAGAUCUUGGCAUGAGCUCGGCAGUAGAGGAAUCAGAGCCUUCGCAUCUCAGAGAUUAUGGUAUCCAAACCCUCUUCUGGUCAGCUGAGCCUGGUACAGUGGAGGGAAACAGAGCAGAAAUUGUCAGAGGUCAAAGGGAGUUGAGGAAAUACUAAACAAAUGUGGACAACGUUAACUUUAAUGAGUUUCUAGCAUCCCCACCCCUUGUCUCAUAAGAGCACUCUUCUUUUUUAUAUCUGGCCUCAUCUUAUAGCUACAAAUAACCAGAGCUUUUAAACAGAAGCAACUAAGUCAAAUUACAGUUGAGAGAAAAAGACCCUAGGUGAUUUGGGAGCUGUGACUGAAAUACGAAUUAUCUAACCUCCACACUCUGAUUCUGACACUUAGCACUUUUCUGAUGGAUGCUUCUAAUGCAUAGUAAGCACACACCUCAGUGCUCCCCAAGUCCAAACAUAUAUUCCUGUCAAAGCCUGGGGAGAUAAACAGUACCUGACUCCUCUGGUAAUCCUUUAGUCCUGCUGUAUGUCCUCCCUCCUGUCUCCUCCUCUCUUAUUUCUUUUCUCUGUGUCCAUUUAGGGCUGUGUCUAAACUUUAUACUCAUCAUAGUUCUCCUACCUUGGGCACCCAACUAGCAUCUAUCAGUCUUCAAGCCAAUGGUAGAACUGGGUGGGAUUGAAGAGUUGGGACUAGCACAGAUAGAACUAAAACUCCCCCAAAAGGAAAAGACUCCUCACUAGAAUUCACCCGGAACCAUCCAAAAGGCCAUGUGAUCGGUUAUGCAAAUCAAGACACAUGAGUCACCCAUCUCUCUGCCGUAACAAUGUUAAAAUAGCCCCAGGUCCACCAAAAUGAAAAAUAAAAUCAACAGAGGGAAAAUAACCCAUUUGAAGUCAUUUCCUUGCGCCAUCUUGUGGUUGGCGUUAGCUAAGUCACUUACUCAAGAACAUGAUGGGCUGGACAGCUGUACCCACCAAGGCAGCUUCUCAUGUAACCAUCACAGCGACCUCUGCUUGUGUUGUAUCUGCUAACAUCCUUGUUAGGUUCUUGACCCAGGAAAACUCAUAUGAGACGCUGCAUUGAAGAGACAGGGGCAUCCCUGUGACUAUGAUGUCCUCAACGCUGGCAGGCUUUCUUCUCUGUUCCUUUCUCUUCCUGUUAGACACAGGUCCUGCCUCAGUCACUGAUUCGCUAAUUCCCUCUUCUGUGCAUCAGGAUAUCCUAACAUUAGGGGCUUGGUUGAGCUCCUUCUGACUUCGUCAGUCUAGGUUUUUGUACUGAACUGCUAUGUGCUGAUGGUCCCACUCAGCUCCUUAUGUUUAUGUACCAUGGCUAUUGAAAAUGGGCUUAGCUCAACCUAGCUUUUCUAUAAAUAUUGGAUUCUUUCAGUGACAUUGAUAGCUUGUGAAUGAGUGGAGGUUGUGGUCGGGAGGGUUGGAUAGGGGUGUGUGUGUGUGUGUGUGUGUGUGUGUGUGUGUGUGUGUGUGUACGAGCUAGAGAAUAAAUCCAAGGCUUCACUCAUACUUCACAUGUCUUUUACUACUCAGCUACAAGCUACGUAUAACACCAAUGGUUUUUUGUAGCUAGCACUGGGUCAGACAUGGAGAUAGAAUGGAUAUGUUAUUCAUCUCGUUUCCAUGUCCUGCAUAACAAAUGAAAUGUUAGCAAAUGACAUGAAAGCACAACUAAGAUUAAAUUCUGUAAACAUGUCAUACAUAUAUAAAGCUAAGAAAUGAAUGAACAUUAUGACAAGCUACUUGACAGACUUUAAUGUCUUGAGAGGGUUAUUUGAGGUGGACACGAUGAUAUUUGAACCAAGACUUACGUUCUGGAUAGGAUGGCAGGGCCACUGCAAGGGAGGGAAAUUGGAUCAGGUUUAGUUUGCAAUAAGUUAGCCAUUAACCAAAUGUGAUUCCCAGUUGAUUCAAACACAGGUCACGAGCAGGACAAAACCCAGAACUUCUGCCUAAUCACAGAAAGUUCUCUGGAUUCUCUACACAGCAGGGGCACUCUAGGCAGUAGGGCCUGCCAGAUUCUCAUGCAAAUACUAUUCAUUACACUCAUAAAACAUUUAUUUCUAACAGCUUUUAUGCAAAUUAGAAAACCUCUGGUGUAAAUUUACACAGAGAAACCUUAAGUGCUAAGUAGCCACCUCUGAAGGUGCUGGUUUUCCCAUCAGAGAAGUUCAGGCCCAAUUUCUUCAUCUACCCAGCACUGCUUUCUGCUUAGCAAUUCACUUCCCUCUAGGUGUGAGUAGUUAAAUUAUAGGAGCAAUCUUUAUAAUAUGUUAUUUUUCCAUUUAUUUAUUUAUUCACUUUAUAUCCAGUUUGCAGCUCCCCUCUCUCCUCCCAGUACCACUCUUAUCCCCAAUUCCCCAUCUCCCCAUUCUGCCCCCUCCCCUGCCACUCUUUCAUGUCUGAAAAGGAGCAGAUUGUCCUGGGUCCCAACCUACCCUAGCACCUCAAGUUACUGCAAAUCCUCCGAGACUAAACAAGACAGCCCAGUUAGAAGAACAGGGUGCACAAGCAGGCACCAGAGUCAGGGUAAGCCCCCACUCCAGUUGUUGGGGGCCUGCAGGAAGAACAAGCUUCACUUCUGCUACAUAGGUGCAGAUGAGGGAGUGGCUAGGUUCAGGGGUCUUUGGUUGGUGGCUCAGUCUCUGGGAACCCCGAAGGGUCCAGGCUAGUUGAUUCUGUUGGUCUUCUUGUGGAGUUCCUAUUCCCUCCUGGUUCCUCAAUCUUUCCCUUAACUCUUCCACAAGACUUCCCAAGCUCUGUCUACUGUUUGGCUGUGGGUCUGUGUAUCUAUGUUCACCAGCUGCUAGGCAGAGCCUCUCAGAGGACAGUUAUGCUAGAUUCCUAUGUACAAGCACAGCAGAAUUUCAUUACUAGUGUCAGGGAUUAGUUCUUGCACAUAGGAUGUGUCUGAAAUUGAGCCAGUCAUGGGCUGGCCAUUUCUUCAUUCUCUGUCCCAUCUUUGUUCCUGCACUUUUUGAAGGCAGAACAAAUCUUGAGUCAAAGGUUGUGUAGAUGGGUUGGUGUCCUUAUCCCUCCACUUGGAGUCCUGCCUAGCUGCAGAAGGUGGCUGUUUCAGGUUCCACAGGGAACACUGCUAGAAGUCUCAGCAAGAGUCACUCUCAUAGACUGCUUAGAGCGCCCCCCAUCCCAGGUCUCUGGUACAUCCUAGAGAUGCCAUCAUAGAAUAUUAUUUUAAUGUAAAGUGAAAUAUAGAAGUGUAACAUGGGCCCAGAGAACUGUCAAGCCCUUCCCUUCCCUAGAGUUACAACAAGGUCUGUUCUCUCAUCUAAAUUAAGAAUGUUGUCUUUAAUCCUUUUACCAGGAUAACUCUCAUGAAGCCUCUGCAGUCUCAGCCUGAAUCAUUCCUUCUCAUUAGGACUGUUUUUGGCUUGACCACUUAAGUAAAUGGGGCUUCAACUGUUCUUUGCUCCAUUUGGCCUGCCCUUUUCCUCAUUGUAUUUGUCAGUGUUUGCUAUUUUCUUGUUUAACUGGUUGUUUUUAACCUUCCAUGCCCCUUCCACAUUUGUUAAGGGAAUAGAACCAUGUUUGUGCUUAGAUUCCCAGCAUCAUCGGGGCAUCAGCUGUCCUAAGGGUAAAGGGGAGAAUAAACAAGAGCAGUUUUGCUCUGUUGCACUGUGGGACAGGUUGUCAAGGAAAGGGGAUUACUGAGCUCCUGAAACUCUUGAUGAAUGAAAGCAAAGCAGGAACCUGGCAGGAUCUCACUAUUUGUUGGUAGCAAGUUACUAGAACCCAGGUUUGUUUCUUCAUAGCUUCUCUGUGCAGCAUAUUUUUCUACUGAGAAUCAUGGUGUCUGGGAGCAAACUGGAUCUGUCUAACACUCAAUUCACAGGUUUUGUCAUUUACAGGUUCUGGACAGAUAUCUUAUAAGUGUACCAGUCAGUGCAGAGCAAUGGAUGGAGAAAACAGAACUCAGAGCUUCUGCCCAAAUGGGCUCAAUUCAAUCAUGGAUAAACAGUGUGCCAGUGUGUCAUCUCCCACAUUACCUUAGGCAGCUUUAUGCUUUUCUCCAGUCCCACUCAAAAAGCUCUACUUGAAACUGUCAGCUUCCAGAAAGGAUUCUUGGAUCCUCUGUAGGCUUAUCAGAGACCUGUGGCUUCUUGGUACAAGUUUGCCUUCUAGCCUGGGCCUCCUUGAGACUUGUCUAGACAGAUAUGGAAGAAGAGGCUGAAAGGAUUUGAAGUUGAAUGUUAGUUGCUGUUGAUAUUUAGAUCUCAAUGAAGUACUAUUAUUUGGCUUGCAAAGCAAGUUAAAGAAGUGGUAAGGCAAACUGUAGCUGCAGUAUUGAGAAACAGAGAGGGCUCUAGUCUUUGCUCCUGCUGACAAUAUAUCACGAUCUCUUGUUACCCAAGACUUCUCAGAAGAUGCCUGAAUCAUCAUGACCUUUGCAAAUGUUCCUGCCUCCACCUAUCUAGGCUCCAGUUCAACUUAAAGAGUGUGGCAUUUUCUCAGUGAGGUGACACUUACAUGAACAGAGGCCACAAGAAAUGCAGUUGGAGAUGCCAGUGUAGAAAUGCUACGCUCCCAUUUUUUGAGGAUCAGAGAUCAUAAAAAGGUAGCAACAUGGCUUAGGUUUCCCAACUCACUGGCAGAAGCAACUCGUGGAUCUUUUAUGAUGGGGACAGUAGGACUAGCUAUGAUCACAGCCUGAUAUAUGCAUCACUGUUCUUGUCAUCCUUAGUCAAAACCAUUAUCAUCAUCCAGAAGCAACAGCAGCAGCAGCAAAAGCAACAUCAGUAACAACAGCAACACCAUUAUCACCACCAUCAUCAUUACAGUCAACAUCAGCAUCUCCAUUAUCAUUACCAUCAGUGUUAUUAUCAUAGUCUGAAUCUCCAUGACUGUUAUCACCAUCACCAUCAUUACCAUCACUACCAUUUUAUCAUCAUCAUAACCACCAUCAGCAACAAAACAUCCCAACUCUUGUCACAUUCCAUUACAAUUAUUAUCGAUCCCACACCCUCAGCAUUGCCUCCACUCUGUUACCAUCACCGUCUUUGUUACUGUUGGUACAAGCUAUUUAGUGGGCUCUUAUGUGCCAUGUUCUGUACUAAUGAGCUCAUUUUCCCACUGCAUGCCAUACCUCUUGCAUUUCAGAGUCACUGAAUGGCAGGAUAAAUGUAUAACACAUCUCUCAUCUGGAAAGUGUCAAGAGAGGAUCCACUCCCAAUGGUCUCUUACUUCAAUGGACCAUCACGCUAUGUAGGACUUUUUCCUUGCCAGGUUUAUCACAAUUAUAAUCACAUAAGUAUUCCUGUUGUUACUAAACCAGAUUGGUUUUUGUAGUGAGUGGGGCUACCUUAUUUAAAUCAUGGUCCCAUAGAACCCUGGACUGCCUGCCAGAGUACCUGUCUGCAUGGGUCAAUAUUGAGCGACAAAAGUCUCAUGUAAACACAGUGAAUUUGUGUGACUUCACAGUAUAUCUUUCCCUGGUCAGCGACAAUCUUCAGACUGUGGAAAGAAAUAGCUUGGCUGAAAUUCUCAUUUCAUUUCCUGUCUUCUUGUUGAGAAGAUUGAACACAGAUAUGCCUUUUAUUGCUGGAUAGAAAAGAAAAUGUGAGACCAUGGCCAGAACACUGUGGAGGCUGAGAUAUCUACAAGCAAAGGCAUCCAGGACACCAGGUGGCACCUAUUCUGGGAUGUCGCCUCUAGUUUUAAGACUAUCAAUUUUAAGAAUAUCUAGUUUUAAGAGUUAUUUACUUUUUAGGAACUUCCUGUAUAAGUCACGCUUUGAUCCUAACUGCCUUGCCAAUUCAGGGUGCCUUGAUCUAAACAUGGCCUUGAUGAGGCCAACUAGAACUUUGGGCUAUUUCCUAUGGCAGUUUAACUUCAUUGCCAUCUUGGCUUGAUUUGAAAACAUGUAGGAGACUGCACUGGGUGUAUCUAUGAGAGCAUAUCCAUAGAGGUUUAGGAGGAAUCACCCUGAAUAUGGCCAACAACAUCCCAUUGGAGGGGGGGGUUCAGGGUAAAUGGAAAUUCUAGCAAGAACUACCAUUCACCUUUCUCUGGGGCUUGAACAUGUCCAGCCACUUCACACUCCCAUUACUAUGUCUUCCUACAAUCUCAAACCAUGAGCCCAAAUAAACCCUUCCUUUCCUAACUUGCUUUUGUGACAGCAAUGAGAAAAGUAAUAGAGAGCCUCUUCCAACUUUUCCACCUGUGCCAGCUAUGGGUCUACUAGUACAGUCUGUUGAUAGACAGAAAGCUUUUCUGGGUGCAUCCCCCCAGCUUGGUGCUAAGGAUAUGGAUUGUGCAAAUUGCAAUGUGAAGUUCUAAACACACAUAUAAGGCAUUUAGUGUGAUGUUGUUUCCAGAAUAUGGAGUACUGAGCACUCUUUUAAAAAGUCUGGUGCAUAAAAAGAAUAAGUAAAUGAAAUGGGGAUUAGAUCACUGAUUAACUGAGAUGAAGAGAGCCAUCACCUCUAUUGAACAUAAUCACACAUUGUCAGGGUGAGAAGGGUAUCUGAAAUUGAAAGCAGAGCAGUCUAAGGCAUGAUCGUGUUGCCAUAUCAGCAGGCUUGGAUGGACACCCAGUGUGCACUGCUGUAGGCUGAGCAAGCUCAUACAGAGGGGUCAGCUUGAAGAUAAAGUCUGCAGUGCUCUCUAACCUUGCAUAAGUAUCUGUGAUGCCUGUUGACUGGAACAGUACCUGUUCAUGGCUGCAUACCUGUAAUCCAGCACACAAGGAUGAAACCUGAUCUUGGAUGGACAACUGUGCACUCUUACGACAUUGAUUUAUUCACUUGUUUAUUUUUAAUCAUUUAUUCAUUCAUCACAUUUCCACAAUAGGAAUGAAGAAAGCUUCUAGACAAAAUGGCCACAUGAGACAUACACAAGAUUGUGACCCACAGUGGAAAGCCUGUGGGUGUAACAAACAUGGGAAGUUGGAAGCUCAGGACAGGACUCACAUGAGGAGAGGAGACCUUGGAGCUAAAGUACCUGAGAUGGAUCUUGGGAUCAUUUGAGAUCUCACAAAUGUAGAGUAUUGUUAUAAAUUCAAUGCCAUCCUUUGCAACAUUCUGAGUUUCAGGCCAGCUUGGGCUACAGAAUUAGAUCAUUUCCAAAAUAGUUGAAAAGAGUCCAAAGUGACAUAAUUUUGUAAUGGAGUUGGAUAUGAUGAAGAGAUAAGGUCCUAGCUGAUGAGAAAAAUUAGAUACAAUCCAUGCUCAAGUCAUUUAGUCAUGUUCAGAUUAUUUAUGUCUGUACAUUAAGAGCUAUUUUACUACUUUCAUUGUAAAAUGAUCAUGAAGAAGGCAAAAAGCUUUUCUGAUUUUGGAAUUUGUGGUCUGGCAGAAACAAACACAAACACCCAUGAGGCACUUGGGAAUAAUAAAAUAAGACUGAACAUAAAAGGAAGAGAAUAGCGAAAAGCCAGGUUUGCAAGGGACUGUCAAACUUGAGUUUCCUUACAGAAAGCAACUGCUAUUCCUAACUUAUACCAGUUGGGAGGGGCAUUGUAUAAUCAGACCUUGUUUGUCACAAGACAAGGACUUGAUGUGUACUUCCUUAAGUUUUAAAAUGCCUUGUUGAUCAAAUACAUCAAGCGCUGGUUCUGCCUGAGGGCUGCCCACUGGCCAGUGUUGUUCUGUUCACCCAUCUCCUUUCUGGUACAAGACUGAAAAAGGAGAAAAUCUGGGAAAUUCAUUAGUGCUUUCUGUAAUGACAACAGGGACAGUGGUCCUUCAAAAAUGUGUCAAGAGAUGGGGAUGAGGUCAGGAUUUAUCAUGAAUGAUAAGUGGAAUUAUAUCAAUGUUUGAAACUAAUUAAAUUGUGAACUAAAGGGAUAUGAAAGCAUGAGAUCUAGGGUCCAUAACAUGAACAGAGUGGGUUGAAAAGAUGUCUUGUCCAUUUGAAUUUAUGGAUGACUAGUAUAUUACUUUCUUUUCCUAUUGCUGCAAUAAAAUUCUUUGACAGAAACAACUUUAUGGAGAAAGGGUUUAUUUGACAUACAAUUCUGUUAUUGUCUGCCAUGAGGGAGAGCCAAGAAAUCAGGAACUUGCUGCAGCUAGUCAUAUUGUAUACACAAUCGUGAUCAGAAGAUAAUGAAUUAAUGUGUGCAUGCUUAUGCCCACUUUUCCUAUUUUUAUACAGUUAAAUAUCUUUUGCCUAGGGAUUAGUGCCACACAUAAUAGGCAGGUCCUUUCAACUCAAUUGAUGUAGUCAAGUAAUCCUCCACAGAUAUGCCACAGGCCACUGCCAUCUAUAAAAUCUCUCACUGAGAAUCAGGUGAUUCUGUAAUGUGCAAAAAUUGACCAUUAAACCAGCUAUCAGAGUGAGUAAUGAUAGAUGAAAGACUGAAUUGGGGAAGAAGUGAUGACGAAUCAACACUGGAAAGAAACAGAACAUUACUGAUGGGGUUGACUAGUUGAGUUUGGCUUCAAUAGAAUGAAUGGGAUUGAUAUAGAAAGAGCAGGAAUGAAAAGAAAAGGAGGUUAUGUGAAAGUGUCAGAGUUUCUCUACAUACAAACUCAUCACACAUUAGGAACCAUGACCUAUGAUAGCCAUUUUGACUAAGAAAAACCUCAUACUUGCCUCAGGCCAUUGCACAAGUAUUCCCUGAAGUGAUCAGAGAUUAGAAAACUCCAACUCUCCCUUUCCCAUAGGUUUGUAAGGUUAGAGAUCGAGACCAAAUGGCUGACACAGAACCUCAAGCUCCCCAACCUUUAUGGUUAAUCAUUCACAACAAAGAAACCUGCAUUAUGCCCACAAUGGAAUGGGCCACUGUACACAAUUAAAUUUAUAGCUCUGUACAUUUAUUUAUGAAUUUAUUUGUGUUCAUUCAUUCAUUAAUUUGUCAGAUUUCCAUGCUAGGAAUGAGGACAAAGCAUUCAGACAAAAGGACCCCAAGAAACAUACAUACAAGACUGUGAACCGGGGUUGGGGAUUUAGCUCAGUGGUAGAGCGCUUAAAACCCUGGGUUCGGUCCCCAGCUCCGGAAAAAAAGAAAAGAAAAAAAAAAAAGACUGUGAACCAAAAUAGAAAGCCUCGGGAUGCAGUGAUGAACCCCUUGGUCCAACACUGAAGAAGAAGAGAAAGUGCAGGAGAAGAAGACACAGGAGGUCUAGGAGAAGGAAGGGAGGAUGAGAAGAAGAUCUUAGCGUUGAAGCACUUGAGAUAAAGAGAAUUUGGUUCGGUUCAAGAAGAGCUAUAGCAUUUCUUACUUUGUAGUUGAAACAGACCAACUGUGCUGCCUUCCAGGGGUGCCCCCUCCUUUGAAUUGUACCAGUAAUUUUUGUCUAAGGUUGCUUAGACAUAAAUACCAAGCUCUGGCAAAGAAGACUUUCCCCUCUGUGUUUGAUGCUUUGAUUGGCAGAGCUUUCUCUUUCCUCAUUGUAUUCCUCUUAGACAGAGCUAUGUAGUGAAAUUCUUGGUUGGUAGGAAUGCUCCAUUUCUAAACUAUCCAAUAAGGCUAUCAUCAGCUACUCAUGAUGAUUGAGCCAUGAAAUGUAGUGUAAUUAAUUUAAAAUCAGAUAAUGAAAUAUGGCUUGUGGCUGCUUUAUUGGAGGACAGCAUCUGAUUUAGGUCCUGGCACAUUGCAUGUAGCUCCUCAAUGAAGGAAACUUUUUUUUUCAAUGCUCAAAAUUGAUUCUAAGAGUUGGUUUGGUUGCUAUUGGCGUGUGUGAUGCGUGUGUGUAUAAUUACAUGUGCAUUGACGAAUACAGUGGGGAAAGCUGGAUGCAGAUGCUGACAUCAUCUGUCCUGCUCUCCCACUCUCUACCUAAUUCUCUUGAUCUGUGGUCUCUCACUGAAGAUGGAUCUACACUGGCAGCCAACAAACCCAGUGAUCCUCCUGUCUUUGCCCACUUCCUAUAUAGCUUGCCUUGUAUUGGCAUUGAGGUAACAGUUAUGUGUGAAGCCAUGCCUAGAUUUUUAAUAACUUUUUUAUGUGGUGACUGGUUAUUUGAACUCAGGUCUCCAUCCUUAAGUGGGAAACACUUUUACUCACUCAGUCACACACCCCUUUCCCUAUUCCAUUGUUUAUAAGAGAGAAAAGAAA